This 66548-nucleotide long non-coding RNA is filed under the name Hordeum vulgare. Its description in RNAcentral is "long non-coding RNA (HVUL_LNC020557)". Lineage: Eukaryota; Viridiplantae; Streptophyta; Magnoliopsida; Poales; Poaceae. The record is from RNAcentral.
CAUGCAAGAGGAACGACUGGUUCGCCCUUUUGUGUGUCAACAGUUAGACCCAUGGAGUACAAUUAUUUCCUCAAGAAAAACAUUGAUUUAAAUCUGAGAGAUGGGACGAAACCAGAACAAGAAGUCUCGAAUUUGUCCAUCUUUUGCAUUAGACUCGACACGUGAGAUACUCAAAACCCAUAACAAAACCUCUCAUAAAAAGCACGAUUCAAGAAGUCGGGCGCAGAUUGAGAUGAGUCAUUCAGAUCUGGGGACCAUCAACAGGUGGGCCCUCACUACAACCACGUUAGAAAAGGAGACAUCCAUAGUAGAAAAAAUGGCGAUAUGCUUGACAUUGCUUGUAGCUAUUUUUGGCUGAUUAAUGUUGCUUGGCUGUAGUGUGGAACUUUUCUGGAUUUGUUUAAUAGUUGUAGGUAGCAGCAAGUAAUUGCAUAUCAAGAAUGGCAAGUUCAUGCUUCUAGAAAUGUAAGCUUUUGAAAACCUCUGAAUCGACAUAUGCCAAAUUAUAUAGUUGGUUAUGAGAUCUCCUGACUACACGUCUACAACAAUAAUAUGCACACACACACACACANNNNCACACACACACACACAACUGUCCACAAGAAUUAAGAUUUUUUCUACGAAAUGUUGAUGGCGCAGCUUUUCGCUGCAAUAAAAGGAGAGAACAAAAACAAACAAGGACGACUAAACUACCGUUAGAAAGCACCUAACAACAGGAAUUAAUGUUAUUAUCAAUACAAUAUAUCAACAAAGAAAUCCAAUAGUACUGCUACAGAUUUGAUCCAACCACCACAGAUAAGAAUAUUGCAAAGCUAUCUGAAACAAGAGAACAGUUUCUUAGUACUUCUCCACGCCGGAGCUCAUGUUUUAUUAGGAGGCAACAUGGUCACUUUAUUGAUCUAUUGCUGUAAAACCAAGUAUAACGAUGAUGCUUCUCGGGAAAGAGGGCUCUACAUGGCGUCCAUAUUCGGCGCUCUCCCCUUAUAACAAAAUUCACCUCCUGAGAGGAUCGGCUUCGCUCUUUGAUCUCCAGCAAUAUAGAUUUAUAGACUCUGUUGCUGCCACCAUGCUGGACCCACAUGGAAUGGGGGCAAUGAUGCAGAAUGCAGACCCCACAUCAUAGCAUAAGAAGGUUUUCGCAACCUCAGCAUCAUCAGCAAAGAUAAUGGUCAUUCACUCCUGUAGUAAUAUACUUACAGACCGAGUCGCCAGGACCGUCUCCAGGAAUUUGGGGUCCGGUGCAAAAUGCGAAACGGGGGUCUAAAAUUUGAGAAACUCAAAUGACUUUCAAUACAUUUCUGGCGCCAAAAUCGUACUUCAUAUUUCUAGAUACUAGAGAGGAUUGAAAUAUAUCUGAAGUCUGAAUCUUAUAUUGUAGUGUAAUGAGUUAUCACAAGAAAUUUUGCUACUGCACACUGCCGACAUGAGCUAUACUAGGUACAUGACAGAAAAUAUCGGAAAAAUAAACCUAAAACCUAACGGCGGAUUACACGGAGAAGAGAAUACAAAAAUAGACCUAAAGCUAUAGAAGUUUCUCAAUUGAUCUGCUGGACAAAGUAUAUGCGUGGAUCUAAAAAUUCACAUGUAAUUGGUCUCCUAGAUAAGGUAUGUAUGUGCUUCCUGAACAACAAUUGCUUUCAUAAUAUAAUACUAGCAAAAGGUCCCGUAUGUUGCACUGAAAAGUAAUAAUAAUUUUCUAUGACCAUGACCACAUUUUGCUGUAUCACCGAGAUACACUAUCACUCUCAAUUUCAUUAAAUCAUGGAAAAAAUUGAAAUCAUGAACCCUUUUUAAAAAUCAUGCAUAUGGUUUUUGAAUUCGUGGACACUUGUACAAAUUUUCGAACAUUUUCUAAAAUCAAGAAAAUUUUAUACUAUUUGCAAACAUUUAAAAAAAAAUCUUUAGUCAGGGAACAUUUCUAGAAUUGACAAAUUUGUUUGGAAAUUUGUGGAACAAAUUUUCGAAUUCACAACCAUUUGUUUGAUUUGACAAACAUUUUUUUAACUUAAUGAAUAUUUUUUAAUGUAAUGAACAUUUUUUGAAAUGCAUGAUAACUAUUAGAAUCAGCGAACAAUUUAGGAAUGAUGAAACUAUUUUAUAAGUCACGAACACUUUUUGAAUUUUAAUGAUAUUUUUAUUUCCUGAAAUUAUUUUGAAUUUGAGAAUUUCAUUAACAUUUGUUAAUACAAUUGUUUAUUAAAAAGGAUGAACUCUUUCUAUUUUCCUGAAUGUUUUCUUUUGAAAAAAUCCAAACAUUUUCUAAACAACAAGACGUUUUUUUUUACAAAAUUUCGAACAUUUUUCCAAUCCACAAAUUUUUAGGAUUUAUGAAACCUUUUAUUUGAUAAUUCUUACUUUUUGUAAUUUCCGAGACUUUCAAAUAGUCAAGAAUCAUUCAGAGUAGAAAAAAAAUAAGAAACAAAACUAACAAACAGGUCGCUUGGACAUGGACCGGCCAAUAUGGACGCAUGCCGUCUUUAUAUAUCACAUAAAGUGCAGUAUAGAAGGUCUCUACUGCAUGGACCACCCCAGACGAGGGAUUCCCUCUGUUAAACGUUUUUAAUCACUUUUUGAUGACAGUAGUGGUUAAUAUUUUACAACUUUGGACACAAUUAUUAGGACGUAAGCCAGAAGCAAUAGCCCCUUUAUUAUUAUUAUUAUUAUUAUUGGAUAGAGAUUUUUUUGUAUACAUGUUUUUAAACAAAAUAAUCAGAUUUUUUGAUUUCCUCAUUUUGAAAAUUUCAAACAUAUGGAUGUAAUAGUUCAGCGUGUCCUGGAUGUUAUUUAUUGUACGCAGAGUUUAUCAUUUUGGUCAUUUGACAAGCGUCUUCUUUUUUGUAAACAUUAAAAGGCAAAUCACAUACGACAAAUUAUUGUAUUUGCCAGCUGCUUGUUCUGGCUGUCUUGUCUCGAUUACCUCCAGCAACCUCGGCCAAACACACUCCAGACAUGGUGGCUGUACAAAUAUCACCUGCCUUUGGCUGUGCCACACGUUUUUAUGUCCUAGCUAAUUAAAGGCUCGCAGGGCUAUGUUGUGUACCAGCAGGUGCUUGUCAAUCCCAGCCACAUCUUCUUCUUUCUUUCUUUAUUUUGCGAAUAAGACACCUCUUCUUCUGCCCGGCAAGGAUCGGGUUGGAGUACUCGUGCCAAUCGAGUGUCACUCCCUCGUUACCAAGUUCGUCAAGUGUGUUCUGAUUGCAGUUCUGAUUACAGGGCGUCAACUUCAUAUAGCGACCACCUUGCUUUAUGCCGUACGGCGUCGAUAUUAAGAUCUUUUAACAGCGACCUCCAUCUACAUCAAACACCCACGCGAUGAACAAGCUUCUGUAUCGAGAGCCUUGCUAACACCUCGCACCUAUAGGUUCAUGUCACCUCGUGAGUACUGUGUCGGUCAAGGAAAUAUACCAUCAAACUGUGUGCCGGUUGUAUCGAACUGGAAGAAGCCCGCCCACUAACAUGUUGGUUUCCUCCAAAGUCUUACAUAAACGUAAAAAAUAUAUUACUCCCUCCACCCCAUAAUAUAAGAGGCUUUUUAUAUUAUAUUAGUGUCAGAAACGUUCUUAUAUUAUGGGAAGGAGGGAGUAGCACACAAUCAAUAGCACCAUUCUGAUAAAGUAAGCACAAUGAUUGAUUUGGUAGCUAGCUAGCUAGCUAAUUGACAUACAAUCAGGUGCAAAUAACAUCCGUCCCGAAUAUAUAUAGUAACCAUCCAUCCCUGCAACAAUGAAAGGUAUCUCAUGCACACAGAUAAGCAUGACCAGAUAGGAACUCGAGGUGCAUAAAGAAUGAUAAAAUCUAAACGGCAUGUGUACAUCACAAAAGUGUUCUCUGCAAAAUCCAGCAUGAUUAGUUCCAAGGAGUUAGUGAUCGUAACUUUGUGGCAUGUGUAUCACCCUUAAACCUUUCUUAUUUCCCUCUUUGCUAUCAUCCAAUUCAUGUUCAAAUUCCACCCCAAGAGAAAGGCGCCAAGUAAGCAUGCAUGGGCAUAUGGACAAUGCAUUAAAUAAUAAAAUAAUUGAUCUCAUUUUACAUUGUCCUAAACAAUUGAAAUGUCUGACAUGAAUAUUGUAUGAUAUGCGGUACAAUCUCAAAAAAAGAUGUGAUAAUCUGGUAGAAGUCAAAAGGGCAAAUUUGUUGUGGUUGGAAGUUCAUGUAGUUCCAUAUAUAAGAUACACACAUGCAAGAGGAACGACUGGUUCACCCUCUUGUGUGUCAAGAGUUAGACCAAUGGAGUACAAUGAUUUCCUCGAGAAAAACAUUGAUUUAAAUCUGAGAGAUGGGAGGAAACCAGAACAAGAACUCUCAAAUUUGUCCAUCUUUUGCAUUAGACUCGACAUGUGAGAUACUCAAAACCCAUAGAAAAACCUCUGAUAAAAAAGUACCAUUCAAGAAAUCGGACGGAGAUUGAAUCAUCCUGUGCAUUUGGGUAUUUUGGUUAUUUUGGUUCGGGUAGUUCGGGUUAUGGGCAACUCGGGUACGCAAAAAUGGGAACCCAAUUUUUUUUCUACCAAAAAAGUACCCGGACCCAAAUUACCUAAAAUUUCCGUUCGUGUAAUUCGGGUACCCAAAAAACCCAAAAUAUUCGGAGCACACAUCAAAUUUUGGUAUGAAUAAUUAGGGUAUUGUGGAGAUAGUAUGGGUAUGUUAGUUAGUAUCGAUAAAAUGUCAGUGUAAUAAUAGCAUGAAUAAUUUGGCUAGUAUAAAUAAUUCGGGUAGUAUGGUUAUUUCGGGUUUUUCAUAUUGGAACCCGAACCCUAACCCGAAAAUCGAAUAGCUAGGAAACAAGAACCGAACACUAACCCGAUAGCCGAAGUACCCAACAAUUCGGGUAAUUCGGUUUUGUUCUUGUUCGGGUAGCGUGUUAGGGUACCCAAAUGCUCAGCUGAGAUUGAGAGGAACCAUUCAGAUCAAGGGACCAUCAACAGGUGGGCCCUCACCAGAUACACAUCAAAAUAGGAGACAUCCAUGGUAGAAAACAUGGUGAUAUGCUUGACAUUGGUUGUUGCUAUUUUUUGUUGAUUAAUGUGCUAGGCUGUAGUGUUGAACUUUUUUGGAUCUGUUUAAUAUUUGUAGGUAGCAACAAGUAGUUGCAUAUCAAGAAUGAUAAGUUCAUGCCUCUAGAAGAGUAAGAUUUGUCAGUGACUUGCAUAUCUGGACACUGACUUGGUGACUGCCCCCCCCCCCCUCGGGGGAAUUCUUCGUUAGCACGGUGCACAUGGCACUAUGCUGGUCCCCCACCAUAUCGUGGCUUUUGCACCUAUGGAAGGCUCAUAUGCCCCUGAAGAUCAAGAGCUUUGUGUGGCAAUUACUUCAGGAUCGCAUCCCUUUGGGUGCGGAGGUGCUCAAGCAGCACAAACCGGGGGAUGGCAUGUGCAUGUCCUCUAUGUUCGGUACCUGAGACGGGACCCGUAUCCUCUUCUCAUGUACGGCCGCAAGAGUACUUUGGUCCUAUGUGCGUGAGGCAUUGGGUCGCGACUGGGAGGCUCGGAACCUUGUAGAGUGUCUCCAGACCAGGGCCACUCAGACCGGGCGCUAUCGCCGUCUCUUCUGGUUUAUAUUUGUGGCCAUGUGGUGGUCUCUGUCGACAACUCGUAAUAAAAUGGUUAUUGAGCGGAUAUUUUCGAGGUGUGCGUGUGACUCCUUCUUCAAAUUUCUUGUUUUCAUGCAGCACUAGCACCCGCUCUCUAGGCAACGAGACCGGUAUCGGCUUGACACAAUGGUAGAUGCGCUUCUGGCUACUGCGCGUCGCUUAUCUUCUUAGUAGUGCCACUUCUUGGCUGCCAAUAGGUGGCUUUUUUGGUUUUUAUUUCACCUUUCUUUGGACUUUGAUUGUGUUGUUGCCCCAGCUGUCGUUCUGUUCGGAAUUGUUUGCUGGUUGUUUGAACAUGUUGCUUUAUUUAUAAAACAGGACGAAAGCCUAUUUCAAGAAACGUAAACUUUUGAAAACUUUUGAAUCGCCAAAUUAUAUAGUCAGUUAUGAAAUCUCCUAACUACGACUACAACAAUAAUAUGCAUAGACACACAAAAAAAGUCCACAAGAAUUAAUGUUUUUUUUUUACGAAAUGUUGACGGUGCAGCUUUUCAUUCCAAUAGAAAGAGAGAACAAAAACAAACAAGGGCGACUAAACUGCUGUUAGAAAGCGCCUAACAACAGGAAUUAAUGUUAUUAUCAAUGAAAUAUAUCAACAAACAAGUCCAACAGUACUGUUACAAACUUUGCUCCAUCCACCAUAGAUAAGAAUGUUGCAAAAUUAGAAGCUAUCUGAAAAAAUAGAGCAGUUUCUUAGAGCUUCUCCACGCCGGAGCUCAUGUUUUAUUAGGAGGCAACACGGUCAUUUUAUUGAUCUCUUGCUGUAAAAGCCAAGUAUAACGAAGAUGCUUGACGGAAAGAGCGCUCCAUAUUGCGUCCAUAUUGGACGCUCUCCCCUCAUAACGAAGUUCACCUCCUGAGAGGAUCAGCUUCGCUCUUUGAUCUCCAGCAAUAUAGAUCUAUAGACUCUGUUGCUGUCACCAUGCCGGAGCUCAUGUGGACAGGUCACUAGAGAAAAUAAGGGCGGAUCAGACCUGGAAAAAUGCAGGAUACGAGGCGAGAAGGCACGUCCUGCACGCAUGGGCAUAUGAACUCACUUUUCACAAAAUGCAUUUUAAACAUGUUUUAAAAUGUUAAAAAUAAUUCAUAGGAAAACUUCAUGCAUACAUCUUCACAAAUAUGUGUGCACGGCUCUUGGCCUCCGCAAAAAAAAAGAAGCAAAUUCCAGUGCAUCUACAACACAUUUUUUUGACUUUUUUUGCACAAGCCAAAGAAAAAGUUGUUUUUCCGGGAAACUUUCUGCAUGCACAAAGAAUGUGAAGAUGUAUGCCGAGACUUUUUCAGAAUUUUUUGAAAACUAGACAUAGUUUUUCAAAAUGGGUUCAUAUAUUCAAGUGUUCAUCCAUGCACUUCUCGACAAGAGACUGUCUAUUCAUGGGCCAAAGCUUUCAACCCAUGCCAUUCUGCUUGUUGCUGACGAAAUGGACGUGCAUUUCCGUUUGUCUGAUGUUCCUGAUGAUGAUGAGACGCCUGGUGUUGUGGAUAUACCCCGCGGUAUGACCCGAUGAUCCGACAGACGGUUAUGACUGGACAGACAGUUAUGACUCAGCAGACACUUAUAACCCGUCAGACAGUCAAGUUCCAAAAACGAUUCCCUGAAGAUGAGUCUUGAAGAGAAGCCCGGUCGUAAGCCGCCCAAGGACUCAGCAAUAUGUUUGUAAGCAGCUCGGUCGUAAGCAGCCCGGUUGUAAGCAACCCGGUCGUAAGCCGCCCGGGGACUCAGCAAUCUGUUUGUAAGCAGCCCGGUUGUAAGCAGCCCAGUCGUAAGCAGCCCGGUUGUAAGCAGCCCGGUCGUAAGUCGCUCGAGGACUCAUCAAUCUGUUUGUAAGCAGCCCGGUCGUAAGCCGCCCGGGACAUAGCAAUCUGUUCGUAAGUCGCCCGGGACUCAGCAAUCCGUUUGUAAGUAGCCCGGGACUCAGCAAUGAGUUGGUAAGUCGCCCGGAACUCAGCAAUCUGUUCGUAAGUCGCCCGGACUCAGAAGCCCACGAAGAGAAGCCCGUGAUGGAGAGUCAUAAUAUGCUAAGCCUAGAUCCGGCUUGGACACAAUAUGUAACUCGCCCCUUCAGCUUAUAUAAGGAGGGGCGACAGACCCCAAGAGGGUUAGGUUUUUUAGACGCCUCAAUAGACAAGAUUCACAACUUAGGUCUAGACAAGACAAAUCAUGAGAUAGGCAGAUUAGACACCCACGAGAUUAGAGGUGCCAAGUCUGCACCCUUGUAAUCGAGAGCAUCAUCUUCAAUGAGACACAAGUAGGACGUAGGCGUUUACCUCCAUCGGAGGGGCCGAACCUGGGUAAACUCGCGUCUCUCGAUUCCGACCAACCCCUCUCAAGCCGCCACAUGGUUGCGAUAGCCUCACACCUAAGUUCUCUCACGAGAACAUCUGCCGUGACAAAACCACGACACCUGGUUUGAUGUACAUGAUCCUGCAACGCGUUGCCUGCAUGAAUCCAUUCAUAACUCGAGUAUCCAGUAUUUCUUAUUCUUUUAUAUUUAGUGGUGUGCUUCGGUAGAUCCUUCCCCCCGCCUCUCUCCCCCUCUUCACAAAACAUAGAAGAGGAAACGGAAAUCCACCUCGUAUUGUAUACUACACUCUGUUGUACGUAUACCCAUCUCAUAUUGUAUAACACAAGUUGCCAUUAUACCCUUUUUAUGAAGGGAUAUCAUGCAAUGUCAGCCAUAUUUCUACGCUUUGUGGGGUAAGGGGGUGUCUACCGAAGCAAAAGUGUUAUUUUUAUCCUUCUGAGAAUUAUUUGUUAGAUACACAAUUCGUCUGUUGGAUGUAACAUCAUAAAUUUAUACUUAUACGGUUAUACCUCUGCAUAUUGAUAUUGAUCUUCCAACUGCAAUUCUGCUGACACUUUUCAAUUUUGACCCGGCUGUCGUUCCGGCAUCUGUUUUCUAAUGUUCAAAAUAGUUUACUUGACUUUGGCAUGAACCAGGCAGACCGACCAAGUCUAGUUGUUGCUGUGUCCUCACACAGAAGGUAGCCUUCCCCGCGUCAGUUCGCCAUGAUAGAUCCGUGGAUCUUAGGCUAGAUGUAUUCGGAUGAUGUGGUAGAUUAAUUACCUUGUGAUGAACUCAAUGAGCUCCCUUCAGAGACCGUCGUGAGGUGAUGACAACGGUGGGGAAGGAAAGAGAGAUGCGGUAACGGCGGCGAUGGACUUCCCAUCGCUUCAGUGCAUCCCUUUAGAUCGGAUUAGGGUUGGAGAGUGGGGAACCAGUGGCGGCGGCGAACCUCGUAACUUGUGCCAUGGUCCCCACCUCCUCUUUAUAGCACUGCGCGACAGGGGCCACCAGCCUUGCUUGGGCUGGACGCCCCCGAUCAGGGCGUGAGUCAAGGUCCAAUGGACCGUUGGGCCCAUUGGGCAAGAGAUCAACCUAACAUUCCCCCCCUUGAUCUCAUCAUAUACUUUUAACUUUACUCGUUUCGUAACAGAUCAAUACAUAGGGCAUGUUUCAUCGUCACGGCUCAAUUGCCGAUGGAAUCAGACAACCACAAUGUACCUCUCUAUUUUGAGACAGAUUCUUUAACCUUGGGCCCUUUAUUGUCCGGAAAUUUUAGACUAUACCAUAAAACCCAUGUCGACUGUGUGUUCUCCGAACGCACUGGGCGGUAAGCCUUUGAUAAGCAGAUCUGCAAACACUUGUUUGUCGCUUUUAUGCUUUCAAGCAUUUUUCCAUAAUUCCGGACUUUCUCCUUCACAACACGUAACUCUUUGUCAGUGUGUUUGGCAUCAACACUUGACUCGUUGUGACAGGAGCGAAAGAACUUAAAAUGGUAAUCGUCGUUGUCAACCAUUAUCCACUCCGGGUACAGGUAGCCUUAACCACGUUGCCCGUCCCUCAGCCUCAUAUCAAGCUAUAACAUAUCAUUGCAUCACAUUGAUGACAAUCGUUUUACAUUUGGAGAUUUUCCACACAAAACUCCGAGUAUGAAAGUUAGCGACAAUUGUGGAUUUCGCUAUACAUUUCACAAGUCCUGCCUUUGUACUCACAAUCUUUUGAGAGGACUUAUUUCUUUUAGCAUGAGGCCGAUAUCUUUGACUCCAUUCCAUUGAUUUAUCUAUGGACUGGAAAUUGCCAAAACAACCUGGAUAUAUACGUGAACUGUGUCAGGGUAAUAUCUUGAGCUUCCAACAACUGAAGCAUAUGGUACCAUAUCCGUUUACAAUCUUUUCUUAUUAACUUUUGGAACACCAUAGUUUCCACUUCCAUUACCCUUGACUAUAAGAACAGGCGUAGGUUUUCUCGUAUGCAUACUUUAGAGAUCUUUCUUAGCAUGUCCAUGCGACAUUCCUAAUACCCCCUUUUAUUCUUUUGAACUUUGAGGACAAGAACUUCUUUAUUCCUCCUGCAGUAGAUUGACAUCACCACUAGCAAGUAGGACAUCAUCCACAUGCAUAGGAAUUGGGAAACGAAUUUCCCAUUCUAUAACUUUGCAUGAAUGCAAUUGUCCUCUCAUUUUCUUUGCACAAAAUCUUUUGGUUUAAGUCAUGUUUUACGCAUUUACAUAUUUCCUUUGGAGUCACAUUUGCCUUGUAGACCCUUCAUAAAGUCUAUGUUAGUGAAAUUCAAAUGAUGGAAUUUCACUAACAUANCUAACAUAGACUUUAUAGUAGUCACAAGUAUGUGAUUUUCACAUUCCUAGAGACCAUCAAAAUCUCAGGUACUGGCACUUCUUUCAUAUGGGGUAGUCGUUGCUCUGUCAUUGCCAAGAGGCAAAUUCAUUCUAUAGUCACCCAUUUCCAAAAGGCAAUAGGUUUUACAGGGAACUGUAUCACAAGAUCCCUUGUAGAGCUAACAACAGGUGUUGUAUAGGUCAUACAACAUGCUCCCCAGAUUACUCCAUCUUCAUUGAAGAAAUGGCGUAUCUUUAAACUUUCUUCUUUAUGGAACUUUAAGCACCACCGUUGUAUUCCUUAGUCUGCUUUCGGAACUAUAAAAGAUUCGAAAAUACAACUGUUUCUUUUCUUUAGGGGUAUCAUAAUGACGGCAUUCAGAUGACUGUCAUACUCCCCUUGACAAUCACAUUCUUCAUUAAUGGAUCACUUUAGAUGCAUAAUGUGCAUUACAUCAUCUAAAGUACAGAGGAGUCAUGAAAUACACUACAAUGUAUUUCAUGUCUCUUUCUCCCCCUCGAAAUGUGGCAAGAACUUUUCUGCCACAAUUUCGAAACCCAUUCAUAGCUCUUGUGAAAUGAGGAAACUUCGAUUAUCUAGCUCAUUCAUCUUAUCACUUCAUGUAAAAUGAAGUUAUAAGUUAGCUAGUAUGGGAGUAUUGUUUCCUCAUUUCAUUUCAGAAACUCAACAGAGUUCUAUUUCAUUGUCUCUUUUGCAAGUCACACUUGCAUAUUAUUCUUGUCUUUAGGUUCGUCUGUUACUUUUACCCUUUCUGGAUUUAGUGAUUGCAUAAUGACCGUUACACAUAAGGUGUACAGUCGAUACUAGGAAAGCUUAAUAGCUACUCCAUACUUUUCUCCCAUAGUGGGACACAUUAACCGCACAUGAGUCAUCAUAACUUUCUCCUGUCAUACAGGAUAAGGCCUUUGCCAAAAUUUCUCCCGCCAUACACGGAUUGUUGACAUAAUACAAUGUCAACUUUACCCGGUUACGCAGGCAUUCUUCCCAGACUUUUCCCGCCAUGCGGGUAAUUCCCUGUAAGGGACAUAAAUGCCAUAAUUGGCUAUUUUGACUGCAUCAAAUUCAGAAAUAAAUCUGAAUUAUCCUUGACACACAUGUUUGAUCCGAUGUUGGUCAAAUUAAACAUGCAUGUUGCUUGUUUCAUUUAAUCAUGUUGACUGAAAAAGGAGACUUCAUCAUAGAGAGUACAUGAAAGACAUUCGUCAACCAAGACUCUCAAUGAUCUAUCUCUUUUCUUUUCUUCAAUUAAUAUCCAAGAGUUCUUUUCUUGUGAAGCCAUUCUUUAGAGAGAAUUUAUUCCCUCAAGUUAUGACCUUUCUUUUCCAUCUUUCGGGUCACUAGUACCCAAAACAUUCGCUUUCAUGAGUGAAAGCUUGAAUAACUUUUAGUCUGAGAAAACUUAGCCAAUAAACAACGGUAAUGAGCAUAAAAAUAAUCCUACGUUGGUCUGAUUAAAAUCAUGCACAUUAAACCUUGUAAGACUUUCUUUUAUAUUCUAAAUCACCGUUGGGCAGANNNNNNNNNNNNNNNNNNNNNNNNNNNNNNNNNNNNNNNNNNNNNNNNNNNNNNNNNNNNNNNNNNNNNNNNNNNNNNNNNNNNNNNNNNNNNNNNNNNNNNNNNNNNNNNNNNNNNNNNNNNNNNNNNNNNNNNNNNNNNNNNNNNNNNNNNNNNNNNNNNNNNNNNNNNNNNNNNNNNNNNUCACCGUUGGGCAGAAAUGGAAAUAAUGCAUAUAACUUAUAAACAAUGUGAUAAUACUAUUUGUAAGAAAGAAUCAUCAUCGUAAACCAUAUGCAUUUCUUAAUCUAUGCUCUGAAAAUUGAUCACUUUGAUACAAAAUUUAUCAGAGAUUUAAGCUUUGAACAUAAGAUGACUCAUACAAAUAUAGUAUUGUUAUCAUCAACGUUGGUCAGAAAACAACAAUACCAUAUUUUAACUUUAAAACAAACAUUUUUCUAUUGUCAUAGCGGAAACUGUUUGAAUCCUAUUUCACCCACAAGGGAAACACUUUGCUAAUAACAGUUCUUCCAAUUAAAUUUUCCCGUUGGUUCCAAUUUAAUUGGAGGACUAAACCUUUUUAUUUUGCAGCGGAAAUACGUGAGUAUGAAAAUUCAUACACCUUUACAGAAAAAUAUUCUGUUAAAAUUUAAAAAUUCAUGAACUUNNNNNNNNNNNNNNNNNNNNNNNNNNNNNNNNNNNNNNNNNNNNNNNNNNNNNNNNNNNNNNNNNNNNNNNNNNNNNNNNNNNNNNNNNNNNNNNNNNNNNNNNNNNNNNNNNNNNNNNNNNNNNNNNNNNNNNNNNNAAUUCAUGAACUUUAUAAUCUCAUUUAUAAAAUCCAUAAAUUUUUCCUUUUUUGAAAAUCUUUCUUUUAUUUUCAGAACCUUUUAUUUUCUUUUCAGAAAAAUUAAUAUUGUUCAUGUUGCAAACUUUUUACAGAAAAAAGAAUAUUCUGUCACNNAAUUCAUGAACUUUAUUCAUACUUUUAUAAAGGCCAUGAACUUUUCUUUUUCUGAAAAAUAUUAUAUUUUCAGAAACUUUUAUUUUUCUUUGCAGAAAAAUAAUGUUAGUAUUAUGUCUAUUUUACAGAAACUUUGAAUAUUUUCUUUACUAUUUUCUAAACAUAUUUUCGUAUGAAAAAUGCAUAGAAAAANNNNNNNNNNNNNNNNNNNNNNNNNNNNNNNNNNNNNNNNNNNNNNNNNNNNNNNNNNNNNNNNNNNNNNNNNNNNNNNNNNNNNNNNNNNNNNNNNNNNNNNNNNNNNNNNNNNNNNNNNNAAAAUGCAUAGAAAAACCAUUUUAAAUCUGCCUAAAGUAGACAGAAAUCAAAAAUUCCUUUAAUACGAAAAAAUGGCCGGCUCGGCCGGCCUGUGGCCUCGGCCCGCCACCAGCCAUCCUGCCAGGCACGCACCAGCGCCUCCCUGCGGCCCCAUGGGCUGCGGCCUCGAGUGGGCCGGCCUGGCGCAGCGGCCUGCGGCCCGAAGGCCCGUCGUAGCCUAGGGUUUCCUCUGGGGCGAUCCCAGCCGCCCGCGUCGAUCCGACGGCCCUCCUUAGAGAUCGGGGAAACAAAAAGGGGAGGCCUUCCUAGCCGAGGCCGAAACCCUCGUCAUUUCCCCUGCUGCGCCGCUCCUUAUCCCCUCUCUGGCUUGACCGAGCCUAGCCUGACGGUGGCUUCCAGCACCGUCGAGCGGCGGCUGUAUGCCCCGUCGAACGGCGGCUCGCUGCCCUGUCGAGCGGCGGCUGCAUGCCCCGUUCUCUUUCUCCGUGGCGUGUCGCUCUCCCCCUCGCGCCUCCUUCCAUUCCUGAGGCAGCAGUGGCCAGCCGGCCACUGCGACGGCGACGAGGGGCCCUGCCCCUGCGCCUCUUUCCUGCGCCUCCUCGUUCCCCAUAUCUCGAGCACUACCACCAGCGCAGCGACAACGGGCCAGCUUCCCCUCGGUCGCGCCGCUCUUUUCCUCUUUGGACAGGUCUGUCCUAGCAGCGGCAGAAAAUGGGGCAUUGCCCCGGUCGACCGGUCUGGCCGCCGGCGGCGGAGAGGCAACGCACCGCGCCUUUCUUCCCUCUGCCUCUCUAGGCACUCCCUCGCGCGGUGGUUUUCUUGCCCCGCCGAGGAGAGCCCGGAUCUGGCCGCCGGCGUGGGGGGCAGNNNNNNNNNNNNNNNNNNNNNNNNNNNNNNNNNNNNNNNNNNNNNNNNNNNNNNNNNNNNNNNNNNNNNNNNNNNNNNNNNNNNNNNNNNNNNNNNNNNNNNNNNNNNNNNNNNNNNNNNNNNNNNNNNNNNNNNNNNNCCCCCCCCCCCCCCCACACAGCCGGUUCAUCUUCUUUCCUUUUACCUUGCUCGACCAGCCCCUCCUCCCCUUUCUUCUUUGUAGAGAGAGACAGAGCGCCGGCUGAGCAAUAACUUGCGGCGUCGUGGUCUCCCCUUUCGCCGAUUGAGCGUUCCUUGGUGGUGAGCGCGCUGUCGUCGAGUGGGUUGGCCAUGGUGCCCCUUUUUCCUUUUCUUUNNNNNNNNNNNNNNNNNNNNNNNNNNNNNNNNNNNNNNNNNNNNNNNNNNNNNNNNNNNNNNNNNNNNNNNNNNNNNNNNNNNNNNNNNNNNNNNNNNNNNNNNNNNNNNNNNNNCUUUUUCCUUUUCUUUACGUGUAGGGUGUCCCGCAGCGGCAUGAGAUGGUGGCUCCACCUCCGUUCCUUUGCCGGCGCGCGCGAGCACCUUCAAGGUGAACGCGCCACCGUCAAGGGCGCGGUGGUGGUGCCCUUUGCCCCGUUUGGGGUGUUUCCUUUGCAUUGCAUGUUCCCCUUCUUAUUUGCAUUUUUUUUAUGCCUUUUGGAUCUCAUCGGAUCCGAUCUUUUCUUUGCCCCGAAGGGGUAGAUUCUUUGCCCCGAUAAGGGGUGGUGUUCUUCUUCCGAAUGGCUCGGCUUGCCGAUGCCCGUCCGGAUCGAGAGGAACGACGCGGCCUUGCGGCGGCGCAACUUUUCCCAGUGAGGGACCUUUUCUUUCUACCCUGUUCUAGGGUUCCAGGGGAGGGGAAACUUUUCUUGUUGUUGUUUCAUCCGAAACUCAUCUAAAGCCUCGUGGCUCAUGAUACCAUUGAUAGAUCCCGUGGAUCUUAGGCUNNNNNNNNNNNNNNNNNNNNNNNNNNNNNNNNNNNNNNNNNNNNNNNNNNNNNNNNNNNNNNNNNNNNNNNNNNNNNNNNNNNNNNNNNNNNNNNNNNNNNNNNNNNNNNNNNNNNNNNNNNNNNNNNNNNNNNNNNNNNNNNNNNNNNNNNNNNNNNNNNNNNNNNNNNNNNNNNNNNNNNNNNNNNNNNNNNNNNNNNNNNNNNNNNNNNNNNNNNNNNNNNNNNNNNNNNNNNNNNNNNNNNNNNNNNNNNNNNNNNNNNNNNNNNNNNNNNNNNNNNNNNNNNNNNNNNNNNNNNNNNNNNNNNNNNNNNNNNNNNNNNNNNNNNNNNNNNNNNNNNNNNNNNNNNNNNNNNNNNNNNNNNNNNNNNNNNNNNNNNNNNNNNNNCCACCAGCCUUGCUUGGGCUGGACGCCCCUGAUCAGGGCGUGAGUCAAGGUCUAAUGGGCCGUUGGGCCCAUUGGGCAAGAGAUCAACCUAACACGCCACUCAUGAGUUCGCCACUUGACCUGUUUCGCUUCCUGAGGAAAUGGCAUGGCGGAACCAAAGCUUGCGAGCACGUAGCACGAGAUAUGUCCAUGGCGAAUGGGUCACCGAUGUACAGGUCUUUCAUCACACUUUCUCAGAGGAGAUGGCGGUGCAGCCUAAGACUAGUCCCUCCUUCGUGAGGCGCACCCUUCAUGGCAAACAGGUCAUGACGUACAUGUCUCGACGUACUGGAUGCUGGUGUACAGGUGGCGUGAUAUUUGCCUUCGCAGAUCAUCAAAUACGGCAUCUAGCCGAGACGAGGCACCCAUACGGUGAACGGGUCAUGGCGUACAAAACGCCUACAUGCAGGUGGUGUGAUCCUUAUCAAGGCAGAACACCGAACACGACGUCUAGAUGAGACGAGGCACCAAACAUGCCCCUCUACGACAUCAUGUUAUUUCAACCGUGCGAUGUGGUUCCUUUUUCUUGGCAGACCAACGAAUAUGACGCCCAAUCAAGUGAGGUGCAUCCACCAUAGGGGACAGGUCCUUGGCGCAUAGAUCCAUGACGUCAUCGGUACAUAGGUCAUCCUAUGGUGUAGCAUCUACCGAAGGUGACGCGGCCUCCACGACGCUACCUUUCCACGGCCCAUGAGGCGGCGCCCUUAUCUUGGCGGAUCACCAAAUACUCGGUGUCUAGCCGAGACGAGGCACCNNNNNNNNNNNNNNNNNNNNNNNNNNNNNNNNNNNNNNNNNNNNNNNNNNNNNNNNNNNNNNNNNNNNNNNNNNNNNNNNNNNNNNNNNNNNNNNNNNNNNNNNNNNNNNNNNNNNNNNNGCCGAGACGAGGCACCGACCACACCGGCCAUGCCGAUGUGAUCGUCACUUUAUUUUACACCGACUUCGAUCUCCACCAAAACUAUACUCCCGUGAGGCAAGGCAAACCCCUUGCAUGCCCCGACCAGGCCGCUAGGUCGUCGAGAACACCGAGCUGAGCAGGACCAAGGCUACUUCUACCCCCAACUACAUCAAUGUUGCCAAGACCGACGAGGCACGACGGUGAGGGCGGACAUGGCUAGCACAAGGCCGCGUUUUCAGUGACGCGUGUACAAGCAAGGACACGGGAUGUGACGUUGCCCACAGAUGCUACCACCAUUAUGCACGCGAUCGCGAAGAAAAGACAACGAAGGUGACCAAACGGCUUAAUCAAAGGUAUCUCGGGAGUAAUACGUGGGAGNNNNNNNNNNNNNNNNNNNNNNNNNNNNNNNNNNNNNNNNNNNNNNNNNNNNNNNNNNNNNNNNNNNNNNNNNNNNNNNNNNNNNNNNNNNNNNNNNNNNNNNNNNNNNNNNNNNNNNNNNNNNNNNNNNNNNNNNAAUUAACAGUGAGCCUUUUGAAGCCCCGGAAACCAAGAGACCUCAUAUCCCUACAAUCAGCCUCGCCGCGCUUGUAGGCCACAGAGGGCAUAUGUAAUAUGAUCUUGUAAUUUUGUUUUUCCUAUGAGAGAUUAAUAAAAAAACAUGUUUCCCUANNNNNNNNNNNNNNNNNNNNNNNNNNNNNNNNNNNNNNNNNNNNNNNNNNNNNNNNNNNNNNNNNNNNNNNNNNNNNNNNNNNNNNNNNNNNNNNNNNNNNNNNNNNNNNNNNNNNNNNNNNNNNNNNNNNNNNNNNNNNNNNNNCCCUACAUUUUUGUGCAUUUGUUAGUACACCGGCACGCCUGCAAUGUUUUAUUUGUCUUGAUGCAUCGGAAGAUAAUAAUAUAAUAACCAUGUCAUUUUUUAUCAUUUCUCAUGUCAAACAGUGUCAAAUAUAUUUGUAUAAAGUAGAUUACAGUCGGAUUUGGAUUCAAACUGUGUACAGAUAGGGUACGGAUACAUGUUCGAGUAAGAUACUUGUAUCAUAGGCCCCUUAUAUAAUGUAAACUAGACACACAUUAAUCUAUGUCAACAUACUAGUACAUGCUUACAGUGAAAGCUGACAGCACGUGUUUGCAGAUGAAUGUUGUGCGGUGUUGUGACAUUGUUAUAAGAAAAAUCACCAACAAUCAUGCUCAAUAUUGUCAUGUUGAUAAAUUUCGUUAAUAAAUUUUGAUGUCGUACCUGGUGUGAUUACUUAGAUCUUGGAUGAUCCACUACGCGACUCGGAUUAUACUAACACACUGUCACGCGGAGCUUCCUAACAAGAAGGGCUUCGUUGUGUUAAAUAUACGCACCUAAGCAAAUGAAUGGUUGCAUCUAAACUACUACGUGCGUGCCAGUAAUAGGAGUAAUAGCAGCUGACAUCGAUUUGGUACGGUAGUGCAAGGGGAAUAUAAUCUUGACAUGCAACGGCUCCCAUUUUCCACAUCAGUUGGAAUACGGGGGAUCAAUCUUGACAUGCCCGUCCAAACUUUGGAUGAUGGAGGAUUAAACGGUACUAUCGAGUUUUGCUCUAAGCACGGGGCCUUAUGUGCACAAAUCGUUCAGAAAUUGUUCAGUAAUUGCCGUGUGUGUGGCAAUGUUCCCGAAAUACGGAGACAUACACAAACGGCAACAGGGACAAUGGCGUCUUUUCCUGGUUAUGGCGUGCCUGCCCAUGUGUGGUGAACGGCUGGAACUGCAGCUGCUGGUACAACGCGCUGUACAAAAACCACUUCCAUUUUAACACCUAUGUUGGCCACGGGGAUUGAGCUUGGUGACAGCUUCCUCCACAUGACAUGGGGCAUGGGAUUCCUGGUCCGAUUACCACGCGUCAUCAUACGAUGUAGACAAGCAGAUCUGCACACCACAAGCUGUGUGCCCAUCAAACUCGAGGGCACUGAAUUGAUUGUUGUAUGGAGCGGGUCCAUAACACAUUGUGCCUCUAGGUUUAUGUCACCUCACCCCUAUUGUGUCACAGAAGAAGCAGAGGUUCACCUCGAUAUGGUUAGGUCGAGUGGGACAAGUCUGCCUGCUAGCAUGUUUGGUUUCCUCCAGUCUCUCACCUGAAAAUGACUAUACUACUCUAGAGCAAUUAGACGCAACGAUUGACUUUUUUUUUUUUAGAAAAAGAGGAUGACCCCCGGCCUCUCUGUAUGAGGGAGAUGCAUGCGGCCAUUUUAGAAAAGGAGCAAUUAGACGCAACGAUUGACUGAUCGUUGAUUUCUCUUCUAGCUAGCUGAUUGAAAUGCAACUUCUUAGAAAUGAAAUCAAUCUGGGAUGUAUAUAUAGAGGCUUUCAUCCAAGCAACAAUGAAUGGUACACACAUAUAAGCAUGAGCGCACACGAAUUUGGGGUGCAUAUAUAGAGCAUGAUAAAGUCUAAAUUGAGUGAGUGUAUCACAAAAUUGCGCUUCACACAAAAGCUAGCAUGAUCACGAGAGAUCAGUCAUGCAUCAUACCUAACCUUGCAGCAUGUGCAUGUAUCUUACAUCUUCUUUGCUUUCAUAUGGUUCAUGUUUCAACCGGAGAUAAAGGACACCUGAGAAGCAUGCCUAGACAAAUGCACAAUGCACGAGAGAACAAAAUAAUUGAUCUCGUUCUACAUUAGCCUAAAGAAUUGACAUAUCUAACAUGAAUAUUCAAUAUUGUAUAAUAUGGUAGUUCAAUGAGGCAGGUCACCGUGGUUGGCUAUGUUGCGUGGGACCUAUGGAAGGAGGUGAACUGGUGAACAUUGAAAGGGAUGAGGGCCUCACCUAAGAUCUGAAACCCUCUCCUCACCCUCUCCCCAUCCAUCCCAGACCCCAUCACGCCCGGGAGGCCUAGCCACCUCCUCUCCCUCCCUCGCCGCCACAUGAGGAUGGCGCCGGGAAAGCCCGUGGUGGAGCCGGGGACUGCGGGCGUGGGCCCUUCCUGCUCUGCCUUACGCACUUGAGAGCUAUUGGAUCUGGGACGGCGGCCCUUCCGGCGAGGCCCCUCCGUGCUGCGGCGAUCGGCAGGGCUGGCAUGGUGCCAGUGGUCUGGUCGAACAGCCGACGGAUCUUCGGUGGACCUGGGCCUAGCGUGGUUACUUUGGCGGCCGGUGGCGCCUGAUCUGGCUACUGUCCUUUGGCCCUGAUCGGUGUGCUUCUCUCCUGCGGGUUCCUCACGGUACCGGCGUGGCUUGACGGGACCCUGGCCGGUGGCCGCGGGUGAAGUUGUUGGAGGAGAUCUAGAUUGGGGGAAACCCCUUGAUCGGCCCUGGCCGACCGCACCGACGACGAUGUUCAAGGGUGUCGCUUUUCUUCUUGGAGACGUCGGUCUACGAUUGCUCCUCCACUUCCCCCUACUCGCCUUCCGGGUGAAAACCCUAACUCCAAUGGGCGGCGGCGGCGUCCUUGACAUCGUGAACUUCCUGAAGGCGUCGCCUUGAGGGCUGACUGGUGGGGGGCACUGUGUGGGUCCUUGACGGUUGCUAGUGGAUGGCAUUUCUUCGGAGGAAACCCCGGGACCUAGUCUUCCAGAUCGUACAAUGGCGGUACCGCGGUGUCGUUUCUCUCUUGGAAGCAUCGUUUAUGGAUCAGCGCUGGAUGACAGAGGCAUGAGGAGGAGCGGCUUCGUCUUGCACGGAGCUUUGCUGGAGUUGUCAAAUCAUGUGUGGCCAACAGGUGCUACCCCUAGUCAUGCCUGGUUGGCAGGUGCUAUGCACGACAGUUCUUUCAGAGUCUUCGCGUGUGGACAGAUGAGUGCAGGGCGGUGGCGUCGUUGGGCGUCGCGGUGGCGUCGACGGAUGUUCAGACUGGUAAGGAUGGUGCGGAUCUCCCUUCUGAAGAUGGGUCAGUGGUCCGAUGAUGAUGUUGGCUUCUAAAAGGUGUGCAUGUGGUAUGCGUUUUGUUGGAGUUAAUCACGUCUUGUGAUUCCCUAGCCGGGUUGGACUAGGACACGGUCACCGUAUAGGAAUUGUAUUGGCUGUAGCUAGCUAAUAUAUAUAUGUACCCCUACCUCUUGUAACAUAAGAUUGUGUUCAGAUCAAAGCAAUAGAAUCGACGGGACCGAGACGGUCCUGUAGCAAUCCAAUCUCGCAUGUGUUCUCACUGGAAUAGCUAGCCUCUUGUGGUAUAGUGGUAUACGUACGUGUUGUGGCGAAUCAAUCAAGCUGCUUGGUGAUUGAUAACUAGCUAGCUAGCUUUGCACUACGGUGUAUCUCGCCGUAAAGAUAUCUCGUCGAGUUCGGUAGUCAGCGUUGCUUCGCUUCUUCGUCGUUCGUCACCAUCGUCGGAAAGUACUCGGCGUCGGGUCUGGGCCAACAAUUGGUAUCUAGAGCAAGGUUGAUCUUCUAGUAACAGAAGAUCAUGACGGAGGACGACAAAGCCAAUCAUAUGGCGGCGUACUCCGGUGCGGCUAAAGUAUUUGCUGCUCUGGCUAGUUCGUCGUACCCAUGAUUUGAUCGCGAGAACUUUGGGGUUUGGAAGGCCCUAAUGGAGUGUGGUCUCCGCGCCAAGGUGUUGUGGGACGCAGUCGAUCCAGGAGGCGACGCUUUCAAGAAGGGGGGACACGAGCACUCGAAGGAUCGGCAUGCAGCAUCGGCGAUUUAGUCGGUGAUGUCAAUGGAUGUCCUCCAACACCUGAUCACCAAAGAAAUGGCGAAGGAGGUGUGGGAUACCUUGGAGCUCAUGUUCGAGGGACACGACCGCGUCAAGCAAGCCAAUCUCCAAACUCUCUUAAGGAACUAUGAGACUUUGGUCAUGGGCGACAAUGAGUCUGUGGACGCAUUUGGUUCACGGGUAGCUACCCUCGUCAAUCGGAUCCGCGCACUUGGAGAGAAUCUAACGGAGGCCUCGGUUGUCCGUCGGUUCUUGCGUGCGGCUCCUCCCCGGUACCUGCAAAUUGUCACGUUGAUCGAGCGGUGCGUCGAUCUCGCGACCCUGUCCAUGGAUUAUCUCGUCGGACGCUACAAGGCUCACGACGAGCGCAUGCGGUACAGUCUCGGGGACGGGAGGAACGAUGAGCUUGUCAUGCUCACGCGGGCUCAGUGGCAGGCGCUGGACUCGAGGAGAGAAGGUGAGAGCUCUAGCAGUUACACUCGCCAAGAUCGUGUGCCAAACAAACAAAAUCAAAAGGACGCCAGCGAUGGCACUCCGAAGAAGAAGAAGAAGUUCGACCAGCGCAAGAUCAAGUGUUACAAUUAUGGCAUCAUGGGGCACUUCAAGUCGGAGUGCAAGAAUCUCCCAAAGGAGAAGGCGCUCAUGGCCCAGCAAGGAGAUGAAGGUGACAUGAUGUUGAUGUGUGAACUCGUGGACGAGGAGGAUCCAGUUCUUCAAGUGUCGGCUAAAGAAAUUGCCGCACUGCGUGAAGGAAGAGUUUGCUCUCAAGGUCAUGGUUCGGAAACCCGUAUUGAUGCUACGGAUGCGGGAGGUGAUUCCGAAACUUACAUCAAUGCUAUGGAUGUAAGUGCCAACUUUGCUGGAGCGAAGGAAGCGCUCAUUGCAUGUGCUCGGCCGUGGAGAAGCGGCGUUGUUACAGACAUGAGGGGUGAUUUCAAAACUCGUGUUGAAGCUACUGACGUAAGACAUAAUUCUGAAAUUUAUGUCGAUGCUAUGGACACGGACAUAAUUACUUCAGCAUACUUGGCGCCUGAAAACCACGAAUCAAAGUAUGCUGAUGCAAAAGUAAGCACGUGUGCACCAACCAUGUUACGUUGUCUAGUAAUAGACGAAGACGUGAUGUCGAAAGUCCACAAAAAGGCAAAGCGUACAUGCGAUGUGUCGCUGAGCAGAACAUGCAAGCUAGGUGAUGAUGGAGCUUGUUCUGAUGAAGCGAGUUCUACGACCGCUCGAUCGGGAAGUUCUGGAGGCGCUGUUAUACCGUUGGAGCAGACGGGCCGAAAGGAGAUGGCCUACCCAACCAACCGAGUUGCUCAGAAGUGGACACAUGGCCUGGUGGCCAGGCCAGCUCACAAGCGGCGUGUGGCACAUGCAAAGAGGCAACAACAACUGUUGGGCGCUCCCCAUGUGAUGGUGAUAAGUAUGCACCAGCAAACCUAGCUGGACAUGGCGAGCUGCCACUGGAAGGUGGCUCGUUCAGUGGAGGUCUAGGAGAGAUGGUGUGUGCAGUUUUGCCAUGCACGCACACUGCAACAAGAAGAGACGGGAACGGCGAGGUAAUGCUAGCAGUGCCUGUGGAAAAGGAAGAAAGGACACUGCCAUCUACAUCCGUGUUGCUUCAACCGGAGCUACGUCUGUAUCUGGAGAAAACUGUUCAGACAGUUGACCCGCUGAAAAUGAAAGGGAGUAGGCGAAUGUGUCUAGCAAUUGCCGAGAAACCGGCAGAUUUUGAAGACACGAAUACGAAGAAGUGUUGGCGUCAUGCUAUAAAAGAAGAGUUGGGGUCGAUCCACGACAACAAUGCAUGGGAGCUUGUGGAUCUUCCCAACAAUGAAAAAACCAUGGAGCUCAAGUGGGUAUUUACGAUCAAGAAAGAAGCCGAAGGAAAUUGUGUGAAGCACAAGGCGAAGCUAGUGGUCAAAGAGGACAUGCAAGAUGAAGGUGUGGGCUUUAAAGAAGUGUUCGUUCCCAUUGCACAGAUGGAAUCGGUGAGAUUACUCAUCGCUCUCGCGGCACAAGAAUCAUGGAAGAUAUAUCACAUGGAUGUAAAAUUCACGUUUUUGCACGGUGAGAUGGAAGGAGAUGUGUAUGUGAAUCAAGCACCGAGCUUCAUCAAAGAGGAAGAAGAACACAAGGUAUUGAAGGCACACAAAGUUUUGUAUGGGCGACGGCAAGACCUUCGGGCAUGGAACAUCAAACUUGAUCGGACUUUGAUUUUUCUUGGAUUUGAGAAAGCCCCACUCGAGCAUACAAUGUACAAGAGAGGUGAAGGAAGUGAUCGUCUACUAGUUGGAAACUACGACGAUGAACUAUUGAUUAUCGGAGCAGAUGAAGAGGUAAUUGCAAAGUUCAAGCUACAAAUGAAGGAGCUUUUCAAAAUGGACGAUCUAGGUCUUUUGAGUUGCUACCUCAGACCAGAGGUACAUCAUAAGCCGGAAGAGAUUACAUUAAGCCAGGAGGUAUACGCAAGGAAGGUACUUAAAAAUUGUGGCAUGAAUGGUUGCAAUCCAAUUGAUGCUUCAAUGGAACCUCGUCUUGAGCUGAUCAAGAUAAUGAAACUACUCGACUACUGUGGUAGUGACAAGGAAGGAAUUGCUCACGCCCGUAAGAGUACCUCGGACGUGGCAUAUUUUCAUGAUGAAAGCGUAGUAAGCUGGCUAUCACGAAAGCAAAAAAGGUGACAUCGACUUCAAGUGAAGCAGAGUGUCAAGGUGUGUGGCUAGGAAGGCUACACGGUGAUCUCAUGGAUCGAGAUCCGGAACAAGUGGUGCUCAAUAUUGAUAACGAGUCUAUAUUUUUCUACGUGAGAAUCCAGUGCGACAUGAUAGGAGCAAGCACAUUGAUACGAUGUAUCACUACAUGAAGGACUGCGUGGAAGAAGAGAAGGCGGAGGUCAACUACAUUCGCACCGAUGAUCAGUUGGCGGACAUCCUGACCAAGGCUUUGAAUCGGGAGAAGUUUUUGGAUAUGCAAAGAAGGAUCAGCGUCCAAGCUGUGACAUGACGACGUCGUGAUUAGGGGGGUGACUGUUGGAGUUAAUCACGUCUUGUGAUUCCCUAGCCGGGUCGAACUAGGACACGGUCACCGUAUAGGAAUUGUAUUGGCUGUACCUAGCUAAUAUAUAUAUAUAUAUAUGUACCCCUACCUCUUGUAACAUAAGAUUGAGUUCAGAUCAAAGCAAUAGAAUCGACGGUCCUGUAGCAAUCCAAUCUCGCAUGUGUUCUCGCCGGAAUAGCUAGCCUCUUGUGGUAUAGUGGUAUACGCACGUGCUGUGGCGAAUCAAUCAAGCUGCUUGCUGAUUGAUAACUAGCUAGCUAGCUUUGCACUACGGUGUAUCUCGACGUAAAGAUGGCGAAUCAAUCAAGCUGCUUACUGAUUGAUAACUAGCUAGCUAGCUUUGCACUAUGGUGUAUCUCGACGUAAAGAUAUCUCGUCGAGUUCGGUAGCCAGCGUUGCUUCGCUUCGUCGUCGUUCGUCGCUAUCGUCGGAAAGUACUCGGCGUCGGGUCUGGGCCAACACGUUUUAGGUCUGAUGCAUCGGAUGUUGAUCCCGAUACGUUAUGUGGAUGGAUUGGUGACGACACCGGUUUUAGAUAUGAGGAAUGAGAGCACUCCAUAUUAUUGAGUUUGUAGGUGUGAAUGAUGGCUUCGGAUGGAUUGAUGUAUGUUCUUAUCAGAUCUUUAUGAAAUAAUUAAUAAAGAUGGCUACAUGCAUCGAUUGAUGCAGAGACCGGGGUUUAACCUCCUUUUCCAAAAAAAAGAAAUUCUCUCUACUUUAAUGAAAAGGCNNNNNNNNNNNNNNNNNNNNNNNNNNNNNNNNNNNNNNNNNNNNNNNNNNNNNNNNNNNNNNNNNNNNNNNNNNNNNNNNNNNNNNNNNNNNNNNNNNNNNNNNNNNNNNNNNNNNNNNNNNNNNNNNNNNNNNNNNNNNNNNNNNNNNNNNNNNNNNNNNNNNNNNNNNNNNNNNNNNNNNNNNNNNNNNNNNNNNNNNNNNNNNNNGUGAUGAUCGAAAGGCCAUUUUGUCGUCGGAAGUUGGUGUACACUAGUGGGGACAGGGCCUUUAGUCCCGGCCCGUAAGGGGCUUUAGUCCCGGACCAAAGGUGCUCCACGUGGCCGCCUUAGAGGGAGUACCUUUAGUCCCGGUUCUACUUACGAACCGGGACUAAAGGAUCCGUCUGUUUUUUUUCUCUCCACUUUAAUGAAAAGGCAGAGUCCCAGCAAUUGCUUGUCCAUAUUUCAUGAUACACGGUACACGUUAGACAAAAGAUGUGAUGAUCGAAAGGCAAUUUUGUCGUCGGAAGUUGGUGUACACUAGUGGGGACAGGGCCUUUAGUCCCGGACCAAAGGUGCUCCAUGUGGCCGCCUUGGAGGGAGUACCUUUAGUCCCGGUUCUACUUACGAACCGGGACUAAAGGAUCCGUCCGUUUUUUUUUAUCCAAAAAGGUAGAUUUUUUUUAAAUUUUAUUUUUGAAUAUUUUUUAUGUUUUAUUCCAAUUUUCUAAUCUUUGAAUUAUUUGACAAUUUAAUCUCUAAUCACCCAUCCUCACUGCUCUAGCGUGGAUCACUCAUUUCAAAUCGUCUAACUUCCCGGCCGAUCACCCAUCCUUUCACUGCUUCAGUCCGAGCACGCUUAACUUUCUGGUUCUAUCGAACCUAGUUGCCAAGUGUGCACUUGUUGUUUUCCUGACGAUAGUAAGCUAUCAAUCCUAAACAACUUGGGUCUUGAUGUCAUGUCACAUGAUUUAAUUUUUUGAAUUACAAACAAUUAUUAAAAUAAACUUAAUAAGUAACAAUAAUAGUGAAUUUCAAUGAAAACAACCUAAUAUUUUUAAAUAAAAUUAUUUUUCUUUUUUUUUUGGAAAAAACUUCUUUUUGAAAUAACUUUUUUUCCAUUUGGAAUUUUGAGCAUGUGAGAAAACUUCACCGGGCAAGCCCGGGUGAAAUCAAGUACCAAUUUUUUCUAGUUUUUUUUGAUAUAUUAAUUUUUUUUGGACGUCGUAUGCAAAAGUUAUGAUCGUUUAUUUUUUUCCUUUUUUUGCAAAAACGGUCAAAAUUCAUAUCUCAAAAUUUCUAUACCGACUAGACACUAAAACCUAACAACAUCUCAAAGGAUUUUCUUUUUUGAAGAUUUUAUCAUUUUUGUUUAUUUUUUGAAGAUUUUAUCACUUUUGUUUAUUUUCUACAAAACUCAAAGUAUCAAGGUUUCAGACGAAAACCCAUCUGCUACAAAGGCAUUUUUUAAAAAUUAAUUGAACUGUAGAUUUUUUUUGUGCAUUAAAUAUACACCAUACUACAACAUGUUAAAAUCUACAGAAAGAACUAACUAAAAAUAAUAAAAAACAACAAUUAAAUGACUAAAACAACUAUAUAAGCAAAAUAAUAUUUCUUUAAUUAAAAUCCUAAUUUAAAUUAUUCUAAAAAUAACCAAAUAAAUCUUACUGUGACAACAAUCUAACACAUGAGUGGGAGCAAAAAGAAUUAAAUUAAAAACUAUUUGUAAACUCAAGGUUUUCAAAAACUGGGUUUGAAGCAAAUUUAAACAAAUUCAAAUUUAAACCAUUCAAAUUUGAAAACUAAUGGCACAAACAGAAACUAGACAAAAUGUUGAAUCUAAUGCAAAAAGAAUCAAUCAAAAACAUCAAAUAUCCUAAAAGAUAUAAGCAAUUUAAAACAGAAACUACAAACAAGAAUUUAAAAACAGAAAAAAUAAAUCUGAACACCUUUAGUCCCGGUUCGUGUCACGAACCGGGACUAAAGGUCUACCCUUUAGUCCCGGUUCAAGACACCAACCGGGACUAAAUCCUCCAAACCUUUUAGUCCCGGUUCGAGACACGAACCGGGACUAAAGGUCCAAGACACAAACCGGCACUAAAUCCUCCAAACCCUUUAGUCCCGAUUCGAGACACGAACCGGGACUAAAGGUCCCAUUUGAACCGGGACUAAUGCCCGACCGACGCCUUUGCUGCUCGAACCGGAACUAAUACUAACAUUAGUCCCGGUUCGUAAAGGAACCGGGACUAAUGUGUUUUUCGAGCUGAGACGAAAGCCCUUAUUUCUACUACUGGUAAUUUGCAUAUAAGAUAUCGAAAGGCAAUUUUGUCGUCGGAAGUUGUUGUAAUUUGCAUAUAAGAUAUGCAGAUGCAGGAGGAAAGACUAGUUUGCUGAGUUCUAUUGUCGAGCAUUUAAGCUCAUGGGGUAUAUGGAAGGGUACUAGAAACUAGAAAGCUAAAGGCCCAACCAGAUUUGGGAAGGGCUAGACACGAGGCUGUUCAUUGACGGGCUUGAGGCUCGAGCCAAGCUACAGACGUUCUUGCAAAGGAGCUGCGUCAGAUACUCAGAUAGUAGACCAAACACAGAUUCGCCCUGGCGUUGAGCGUCAGAUAGUUGAGGAAACAGAGUAUAGUACAUCUGGGGACCGGUCAGGGCAAGUCUGCUGCUUGUUGUGGCUGUCAUGUCGUACAUAUAUAUUGCAACGGUCUCAUGGAAGCAAACUGGGGUUGGCUCACUGACCUUCAUCAUGUCCAAUAAUAUAUUUACACGGUGGGUUUCACCAAUCUAACAAAGUAAUAUGAUCAACAAUCUUUGGAACUACACGUACAAAAACAAAAAUGGGCUGGCCCUCCAAGUCGAUUGUCUUCAACAGACUUGGCCAAACACACUAUAGACAUGCUGGUAGUACAAACAUCAACCACCUUCAGCGGUGCCACACGGUUUAUGUCCUAGCUAAAGACUUGCAUGGCUAUGUCGCGUUGCAGCUGGUUGUCAUUGGCAGACGACACCACUUGUUCUCUCCCGUAAGGAUCGGGUUGGAGUAUUCCUGCCAAUCGGCACCGAUGACUGGGUUCAGCUAAUACUAAAUGGGGACUCACGUUUAGAUCGAUGUUCUGAUUAUAGGGCGUCGACUUCGUAAAGAGACCACCUUGCUUUAUGCCUUACGACGUCAAUAAUCAGAUAUGCUCAGAAGAGGCAGCGUGUCUAUCAAGCUGCCACGUGAUAAACUUGCUCUUGUAUCAGGAGCAUUGCCAACACCAUGCUCCUAUAGAAUCAAGUUUCAUCGUCACUAGAGUGUCAUAGAAUAAAACACAGCGGCACAACAUGCCCUCGGGAGAAACCUGCCACCUAACAUGUUGGUUUCCUCCAAUCUCUCACCUAAAUGUUGCAAAUGUACUGACACUUAUGAAUAGCAUCAUUAUGAGAAAUUAAGUACAAUGAGUGAUUGCUAGCGAGCUAGCUAAUUGAUAUACAAUCAAGUGCCAAUGAUAUCCUUUUGGAAUAUAUAUAGUGACCCUCCAUCCCUGCAACAAUGCAUGAUAACUCAUACUCACACAUUAUAAGCAUGAUUAGAUAGGAACACAAGGCGUAUAGAGCAUGAUGAAACCUAAACUGCAUGUGUACAUCACGAGAGUGUUUUUUGCAGAAUCGUUGUUGUGUUUCAACCCAAGUCCCUACAACUAAAGUAUUGUGUACUAUAUGGAGAGGAUGACAUUAAACCUUAAAGCAUUACAUAAGAGGACUUUAUUCACUGGAAGAAGAGAUGGUUAAUUUGCAUGAUAUCUAUGCAAGCACGUUGUUUGUUCUGGUUGUCAUGUAAUGCAUGCAUUGCAUAGGUUUCUACUCUCGUAAAGAAACUCAGACAGGCUCGUUGACCUGCAUGUACGUACACAUGCAUGUGCAUGUAUAUACACCAUGGGAUCCAUCAAACUAACAAGAUAGCAUGAUCAUCAACCUUUGGAACUAUAUUCUUUUUUAAAGGAGGAUUACUCUAACCUCUGCAUCGGAGUGAUACAUGGCUGCCCUGCUUCUGUGUGUUUGCGUAAGACGCAAGGAGAGCUCCUUAUCCGAUUGCAGGGCGUCAACUUUAGCGACAACCUUGCUUACGACUUACGCAGAACUGCUCACAACAAGCUCCACACGCAUCAAACUCAAAGGCGAUGGACCGGCUGUUGUAUCCGGUGUCUUGCCAACACCUUACACCUGUAGGUCCAUGUCACCUAAUUAAUACUGCAUCAUUCAAGGAAUCACAGCCACACAUCUUGCACUGGUUGUGUCACUGUGGGAGAAGCCCACUCGCUAGCAUGUUGGUUUCCUCCAAUAUGUCACCUAAGAUUUGCCAACUUUGCAGAUAUAGUAGCACUGAUGAAUAGCACCAAUGUGAGAAAUUAAGCACAAAGGCUGAUUUGCUAGCUAGCUAGCUAAUUGACAUACAAUCAAGUGGCAAAUGAAAAUCCUUCGGGAAUAUAUAUAGUAAUCCUCCGUCCGAACGGUUACACACACACACAUAAGCAUGAGCAGAUAUUAUCUCAAGGUGCAUAAAGCAUGGUGAAGUCUAAACUGCAUGUGUACUGUGUACACCAUAAAGCUGUUCUCUGCAAGAAUUCAUCUCACUCUACAUUGACCUAGACAAUUGAAGUAUCUAAUACGAAUAUUGUAUGAUACACAGUCCAAUCUAGAAAACAAAGAUGUGAUGAUCCAGUACCAACUGAAAGGAGAAAUCUGUUGACGUUGGAAAUUCAUGUGGUUCCAUAUAAGAUAGGCACAUCCGAGAGCGUGUCAAGCAGUUAGACUAGAGCCAUAUAGUACGAAAAUUGAUUCCUUUUACAGUAUAUCAAACCAUUCUGGACUGUUUAUUUCUCUGAUUGAAUAGCCCAGAUGCGGCUAUUCUACACUAGUCAAUGGUAUUUUUGGUAGUUCAGUUACUUAGACUGAAUUUAAGUUUUUCGAUGGACGUGGAGUAUUUGAGCUCUAGCUCAAAUGCAUCCACAUGAACAGUAAAACCAAAAAAAAAAAUCAAAAAAGACCCAAAAAAUCUGAUUUUUUUGUGGUGAACUUUGACAAAUGUUUCAAGUGCUUGCAAAUUUUUAUCAUGAGAUCACAUUCGAGGAAGGCAUGACAAAAGAACAAAAAUGAUGCUUUGAAAAUGCUAUUUUUAAAAACAUUUUGGAACACUGAUUUUGCUUCUUUUUUCCACGCCUUACAUGAGUGUGAUCUCAUGAUAAAAAUUUGCACACACUUAGAACACUUGUGAAAGUACACCAUGAAAAAAUUUCAGAUUUUUUUAGCAUUAUUUAUUUAUUUUUGAAGUACCUGUUCAUGCAAGCUCAAAUGAGCUCAAGCUCAAAAGGAUACUUACCUUUUUCGAUGAAGUUUUAUGCAUGCAGACAUAUCCAUUUUGUAUAUGCAUGUAAUAUGAUGGUUGGCGAUGAAAUGGUUUUUCAUGAAUCACAUCCAUUCCGGUCGGCAAAGAUGCCAUGCUUGCCAGGGUGGGUGUUGAUACCUGAUUUUCGCACGAAAAAGUGUUCAACAUGAAAAAGUUUUACAUCGCCGAAUGGAACAACUUUGAUGUUUAGGUCAUCAUUGUCCAAGUUAUCUUAAGGGCCGAAAUUAUACUCGAAGUGGCAGAAUUUAACUUCCCGAGUGUUGUUGGGCCAAUUACGCCUUCAAGACAAGUUUUCUACAUGGACUGUCUUCGUCUCGUCAAAACGAUUUAUUUUGAUAGAAAGAUCAUUGCAAUUCGAGUUUAGAUGCAAAAGUUAGAGGCAACGCAUUGCGAACGGACCCUAUGUAAAAAAUUGACACGAGGGAUUAGACAACCGCCUAGGAGAUGUCUGGUGGGUCGCAUGAGCUAUUCGUCCAUCAUGACAGCCUUGAAUAGAAAAAAUUUCAGCACACAAAAGUUUCUUCUCGUCGAGCCGAUCGAUGUUGAUAUGUAUAAAUCGUCUCAGUCCAAGGUCGUAUCCAACCUGGAGAGGCAAUACAAGAUUAGGUAGGAUUUUCAGUCAGGAAAUCCGAGUAAAAAGUUUGCCGGCUGAGUGGAAAGUUGCCGGCCAAGUGAAAGGUUUGUUGUCCAAGUAAAAAACUGUUUUCCGAAUGAAGAAGUAUGAUUGUGCAAUCCGUGUGAAGGAUCCUAAUAUCCGACUGAAAAUAUACAAAUCGGGUGAUGUUGGCUAAUCCAACCAGAAGCUGAAGAUGGGUCCAAAAGGUUAUCUAGAUAGCUUCGGAUGAAGAAGUGUUCAACACGGAAGUUGUGUGUAUCAUCAAAAUGGCCAACUUUGCUUUUGAGGUCAUUGUCAUAUGACAUAGUAUACAUGCUGCAAGGUUGCUACCAGACUCGGAUAGUCCAAGGAGCUGCAUGACCGAGUCCGACUCGAAGUUAAAGAUGCCCCCGUAGAGUUUUGAAGAUAGCCUUAUUUUGAAAAGUGAACACCAGAAGUAUUGUUCAUCUUGUUGUGGCGCAUAAAUUUGGUAUUUUACUGGUCUCAAUCGAAGGUCAAAUGCAAAUUCCACGGCCUGCACAAGGAACAAUAAAGAAGUUUGGCCAGAUUCGAGUUGAAUCCGAGUUGGACUAAAACUAGGAGUCUAGGACAUCAAUUGAUGUAAUUUUUUUAUAAGAAAAGUCUAGAUGAAUCGUUUACUUGUACAUGAAGUCCAGCCGCCUUUUAUAUAUGUUGAAGGUGAUGACCCAUUAAAACAACACACAAUCGAAAUAUCAAUAUAUUACUUUUAUAUCUAUAUUUUAUUUCUCCAUCAUUUUUGUCUCUCAUUCUUCAUUCUUUCUUAAGUUUGAGAGUUGUGAAUACUGAGGCUCUAGGAGCGAGCGAAUCGACCUAGGGAAGCCCAUAGACGUCGCACUCCUUCACGGGGUCCUUUCCGGACAUGCGGAGUUUUGUGUCUGCAAAAGCGUCUGUCGGUUGUCUUGCGUGUCGCGUUGCCGAUCGGACCUUGGUCGACAUGAACUGCGGUGCAUCAACAGUGAGCUCAUACUUCGGUUAUGCUUCCCUGCCAGCACUAUGAUUGGAACCAAUCCUCACCGACAUCCCUAUAUAUGUUGGGAAGGUUUUUUUGCAUCCUCUGAGUCAUGCCCUAUACAGGGAAGGCAAUCUAAAAAGAACUGCCAUGGCACGUCUUAGGGCAUGUUCGUUUCCUCGAAUCUCUCCUCUGAACAUUCCAAAUAUACUAGCACUAAUUAAUUAGUGGAACCAUUCCAUGAAAUUCAGCACAUAGAUUCGUUAGUUGACAUACAAUCAGGUGCCAAAUGAAAUCCGUCCCGAAUUUAUGUAGUAACCCUCCGUCCCUGCAACAAUGAGUGCUAACUCAUACACACACAUAUAAGCAUGAGCAGAUAAGCAUGAGCAGAUACAUAGAGAAUGAUAAAAGUCUAAACCGCAUGUGUACAACACCAAAGUGUUAUCUGCAAAAGCCAGCAUGAUCGGUCCCAAGGAGCUGGUCAUCGUAACUUUUGUGAAAUGUAAAAACGAGAGAAGGGAAUAAAAUGAUGGAACCGUUGCUUUCAUUGAUGGAUUGGGAGUAUAUAUACCUCUGGUACAAGGCAGUUACAAAGAGAGAGUUGCUACAAGUAGCAACCGACAUAGCGGGGAUUAACCCUUUAAUUAAUCUAAUUAAUUUAUUUCUAACACUCCCCCUAAUCACUGCUUGUCUUGGAUAUUUAUUAUCUUGAUGAAGACUCCUCUUUGUAUGUGUCUUUAAGAAUGUCCAUCAUCUUCGUGAAAGCCUUUGUAUAAUCUUGAAAGUCUCCCCCAAAAAUCCCGUGGGAAAAAUAUGAGGAGAAUAGUGUAGAUAUGUUGCUAAAACUCCUUUAAACCCGGUGGGAAAAUAAUAAGGAGAAAAUAGUGCAACAUAUAAUGAUUAUUGUCUCUUGAUAACUCAAUCGAGAAAACAUUUGAAGAAGGAGAAAAAUCAAUUGUGAGUUUAGAGAAUAAUUAAUAUGUCUUAAAUACUUCCUUUAAAAACCCAAUAUGGAAAAUAGAAAGUAUGGCAUAUGAUUUUGAUAAUAUAUUGCCUCAUUAAAAACCUUUUUAUGAGAAAACUGAUGCAAAACUCAUAAAGGAAAAGAGUACAAUAACUAUUAUCUGGUGAUAAUUAAUGGGUUAUGAGUUUAGGAAUUUCUCCCCCUGAAAUUUGCAAAUCUCGAAUACGUCUCAUACCAAUUCCAUGAAUAUAUUUCUGGAAUGUUGAAUUUGGUAAAGACUUUAUGAACAAAUCUGCUAGAUUGUCACAUGAUUUGGUUUGCAAAAUAUCAAUUUCUCCAUCCUUCUGUAAUGCAUGAGGAUAGAAUAACUUAGGAGAAAUGUGUUUUGUGAUAUUACUUUUCAUAUAUAAUAGUUGGUGAUCCUAAUGAACCAACACCACAUGAAGUUUGAAUAUGGUUAAUCAUCCUGCGAAGCCAUACACAUUCCUUAGAUGCUUCAAAUAAUGCAAUAAUUUCAGAAUGAUUAGUGGAAGUUGCUACGAGAGUAUGUUUUGUUGACUUCCAUGAAAAAGCAGUUCCACCAUAUAAGAAUACGAAACAUGUUUGUGACCUGGCAUUGUGAGGAUCAGAUAGAUAGCCAGCAUCAGUAUAUCCUACCAUAGUCAUAUCUUGGUUUUUCUGAUAGAAUAAGCCAAGAUCUUUUGAGCCAUGUAAAUAUCUAAGGAUAUUCUUUACUCCCGUCCAAUGACGUUUUGUUGGAGGAGCGCUAUGUCUAGCUAGUAAAUUUACUGCAAAUGCAAUAUCAGGCCUGGUGCAAUUUGCAAGGUACAUUAGCGCACCAAUGGCACUGAGAUACGGGAACUCAGGUCCUAAUAUCUCUUCGUCAUCAUCCCGAGGUCUAAAAGGAUCUUUAUUCAUAUCAAGGGAUUUGACAACCAUGGGUGUUUUGGUUGGAUAUGAUUUAUCCAUAUUAAAUUUUUCCAAAACCUUUUGAAUAUAUGCAGGUUGGUAUACUAAAAUUCUUGAGGGAAGAUGCUCAAGCUGUAAGCCUAAGCAGAAUUUGGUCUUUCCCAAAUCUUUCAUCUCAAAUUCCGCCAUUAGAUGGUUGUGUGCUUCUUCGAUAUCAGGUGUACUUCCAAUGAUAUUGAGGUCAUCAACGUACACUGAGAUGAUGAAAAAUCCAUUUGAGGACUUCUUUAUAAAUACACAAGGGCAAUCAUCAUUAUUUGAGUAGCCUUUCUGAAUAAGGAACUCACUUAGUCGGUUAUACCACAUUCUACCCGACUGUUUUAAGCCAUAUAGUGACUUUUGUAAUUUUACACAAUAUGCGUUGCGAUUUGCUUUUGGAUUCGGCAUUUUAAGUCAUUCAGGGACUUUCAUAUAUAUGUCUGAUUUGAGUGACCCAUAUAAGUAUGCUGUCACUACAUCCAUCAACUGCAUAGAUAAAUUCAUUUGUACUGCCAAAGAUAUUAAGUAUCGAAACGUUAUUCCACUCAUUACAGGAGAGUAUGUAUCAUCGUAAUCGUUGUCGGGUCUCUGCGUGAACCCUUGUGCUACAAGCCUCGCUUUGUAUCUCACCACCUCAUUGUUUUCAUUCCUUUUUCGAACAAAAACCCAUUUUGCUCCAACAGGGAAGAAAUUAUGAGGAGUAGGUAUUACCGAGGAAAAUACCUCUCUUUUGUUGAGCGAGCACAGUUCUGCCUCAAUUGCUUCCUUCCAUUUAGGCCAAUCAGGACGCUUGAGGCACUCCCUGACGGUCUUUGGUUCCGGAUCCAGUUGAAGGGUUUCAGCAAUUUCAGAGGCGAAAUAUAUGUCGACAAUUGUAGUCUCUCUAUUAUAUGAUUCUCCUGAUUCUGUAUAGUUUAUGGAAAAAAAAUUAUACCUUUAGACUCUAUGUGAUUUCCCACAACAAUAGAAUCAUGGUGUUCCGAUGUCCCAGCUAUUAUGUUUUUAUGCGCAUUUAUGCUAGGUUCAAGAUGUUGAGCAUCUGGUUGGUGUCCUUCAACUUGAGGUUGAAUUGCAUUUACUGGUAGAGGAUUUGAUUUCCUCUGUUUCCGCGGAGGCUUUUGAGAAGCUAUAUUCCGACUAACUAGAUUUCUCCCCCUCUUAUUCUCAUUUGGGGUUUGAGUGGUUUUAGUUGGUACCUCCACUCGUUCUGGUGCAUUAACAGCGGGAAUAUGCGAUUUAGUGACACCUUUAUGGUCAGUAAAUGCAUCUGGCAGAUUAUUUGCAAUGUGUUGCAAAUCUAUGAUCCUCUGAACUUUAGUUUCAGAUUCUUUAGUACGUGGAUCUAAGGACUGAAUGCCUGUUACAUUCCAAUCUAUUUCCUGGCAUUCUUUGUGGUUUGAUUCUCCCCCUAAUGCCGGGAAAUGGUCCUCAUCAAAAAUUGAACCAGCGUAGCGGGCAGUAAACAGGUCCCCUGUAAGAGGUUCAAGAUAUUUAAUAAUUGACGGAGAAUUAUAACCCACAUAGAUCCCUAGUUUUCUGUGGGGGCCCAUUGUGGUACGCUGCGGUGGUGAUAUCGGUACGUAUACUGCGCAACCGAAUUUCCGCAGAUGGGAAAUACUUGGCUGAGUGCCACGUACUAGUUGCAGUGGGCAGGUUGUAUGAUAUGCAGUUGGUCUGAUUUGUAUUAGAUCUGCGGCGUGUAAUACCGCAUGUGCCCAACAAGAUGCUGGUAAAUUACAAUUCUGUAAUAGUGGUCGAGCAACUAAUUUUACUCUUUUGAUGAGAGACUCAGGCAAACCAUUUUGACUAUGGACAUAAGGCACAGAGUGUUCUAAAUGAAUGCCCAUAGCCAUGCAAUAGUCAUUGAAUGCACGUGAAGAAAAUUCAGUGGCAUUAUCCAUUCGAAUUGUUUUUAUCCAAUUUUCAGGAUGAUUUGCUCUUAAUUUGAUAAUUUGAGCAAUUAGCUUGGCAAAAGCAUGAUUUCGUGUGGACAAUAGACACACAUGUGACCAUCUAGUAGACGCAUCUAUGAGCACCAUGAAAUAUCUAAAAGGUCCUGAUAGUGGUUGAAUUGGACCACAUAUAUCUCCUUGAAUGCGUUCAAGAAAAUUUAAUGACUCAUUUUUAACUUUAAGAUAAGAUGAUUUUAUAAUUAAUUUUUCAGUUACACAUGCGGUGCAUACAAAAUCUGAUGAUUUUGGGAAUUUUUUAGUUGGAAGGCUGUGACCAAUAGAAUUGUCAAUAAUUUUUCUCAUCAUCCCUAUGCCAGGAUGACCUAGGCGAUCAUGCCAAGUCUUGAAUUUAUCAAGGUCUUGAAAAAUUAUUUUGUACGCAACAUGUGAUAUGGGCUUUAUAUAACUGUAAUAUAAUCCAGAUGAAAGUGAGGGGAAUUUCUCAAGAAUUUGUUUCUCAGACCCAUUACUCUUUGUUAAAAGCAAAUGUUCAGAAUUAUUUUCAGAUAUUGUUUCUAAAUGGAAGUUAUUUGAUCUGAGGUCUUUGAAACUUAGAAGAGUGCGUGUAGAUUCAGGAUACAAUAGUGCAUCCUCAAUUACAAUUGUAGUAUCCAUAGGUAGAACGAGUGUGGCUUGUCCUGAACCAAUAAUCGACGCAUCGCGACCGGCGAUGGUCAUAAUAUUCCCUUUUCUCUUAGUUAGAGUUUGGAAAUAUUUUAUUUCCCUUAAUAUUGUGUUAGUGGUACAACUGUCCACCAAACAUAAUUCUUCUUCCAUUGAAUUAUUUUCCCGUAAAAUCUAUAUAGAGUAAGAGAAUAUUUUAGGAUGAAACUUUAUUCAUAUUACUCACAUAUAAAUAUAUAUAUACAAAGUAUUCAUAUUACAGUUACAAAUAUAAAUAUGAUAUUAUGUUUGAGCUACAUAAUACGAUUGGUCCGUAGGACUUUAUUCUACUUAGAGUUAUACAAAUUAUAACAUCCAUUAUUACAAUAAAAUAGCUGAUAACAUCAAAUGAGUGAUGUGGAGAUUAUAUAAGAUCUCCAUAUGCGUCUUGGGUGUAUUCCACCAUCAUUUUGUCAACAUCAAGAAGAUCUUCAUCCUUCUGCCUUGUUUCCUUAGGAGCGCUUUGAGAAGUGCUAGCUUCAAGGUUUUCUUCUUGUUGUAAGGCGUUGAAGUGAGCUUCGGCUUUUUCAUGAACUUGUUUGCCUUUCCCAGUGGAUUUGAUGUAUAAAUCCGCUAGAUGCUUGGGAGUUCGGCAUUUGCUAGUACGAUGGUUAGUACAUCCACACCUUUGACAAAUCUCAGAGUUGGUGUUUCGGUCAUUUUUCUUAAAGUGACCUUUACCUUUAGAUUGACCAAAGAUUUUCUGCUUGUUGUUCCUUUUCCACUUUCCAUUGAAUUUCUUGAAAUUCUUUUUGUUGCCCCCAUACUUUUUAGUAAACUGAGUGUUAGCAUGUGCUUUAGGGAGUGGCAUUGAGCCCGUUGGGCGUGUCUGAUGAUUCUUCAUGAGAAGUUCAUCAUGUUUCUCAGCCUGAAGUAAAGUAUAUAUGAGUUCAGAAUACUUUUUGUAUUUUUGUUGACGGUACUGUUGUUGUAGUACUCUCAUCGAGGGGUGGAAAGUGCACAAGGUUUUCUCAAUAAGAUCUUCUUCGGAAAUUGCUUGAUUGCAAAACCUUAGUUUUGAGUUAACCUUGUGAACUGCAGAGUUGUAUGCUGCCACAGAUUUAAAAUCUUGGAACCUUAUGAGGGACCAUUCUCUCUGUGCUUCCGGCAGCAUAACUGUUCUUUGUUGGUCAUAUCUCUCCUUGAGGGAGUUCCACAAAGCUAGUGGAUCUUCUUCCAUCAAAUAUUCCGACUUUAAGUCCGGAUGGAGAUGGUGCCUUAAGAAACUUAAAGUUGUAUAUUUGGCUGCCGUGGGGAUUUCUCCGGCGCCUUCAUCGAGUGUGAUGAUAGUGGAACCGAGUUUACGGCUUUCAAGGGCUAUCUUUGCAUCCAUAGCCCAUGGUAAAUAGUUACUACCAUCUAGUUCAAGUUUAUGAAAUUCACGAUGCAUGACACCAGCCAUUUCCUGCAUGGUAUUAUCAUGCAUAAUUUUAGUUUUACUAUGAGAGUAAAAUAUAAGUUACAACAAAUGCUUUGGGGAAGCAAAAUUUUCAAGUAUAGCUGAUGCUUUAAACUUGUAUGUGUAGACCUCAUUUUAUGUAUAUGACACUUUAAAGAUAGUCACCGUUGGGGUGUAUAUCUCACAGUAGUGGAGAACAUAGUCUGGUUUUAACCAGUAGAUGUUCAUAUGUCCAUUAGCUUGUGUCAUACUAUAUUUUACAAAAACACAUUGAAAGUAGUCAUCUGUCUAAUGACUAGAUGUAGACCGCACAGCAAGAGUGGAUAGUCUUCAAUUUGAUGCAGUAGAUCACACAAUUACCUUGUGAUUUGCAAGUAUCAUAUUCGAGGUAAUCACAUCAAUUCGUAUAUUUUGGGAGAGCACUCGAAGAUAGUCAUUUUGCCAAAAGAAUGGAGGCAAAAUGUAGAUCUUUCAGCGAUAAGGAUAAUCUGCAAAGUGCAGUAGAUGCCUCAUCUACCUUGUGAUCUUAAAAUUUGAAUUGUGAAUAAAAAUUAUUGUACUUACAUAUUCUAAAAGAAAAUUUCUGAAGCAAUCAAAUAAAAUAUGUACACGUAGUAGUCUGAGACUUUAUUUAUUACACAAUACUUGGUCUAAUUAUUUAAACUUACAGUACAAUAUAGACUGAAUAUAAUAAACAGAUGUUUUUAAUACAAUAAAAUAGCACUCUCGAAUGAACAGGACUGGUUGCUAUGUAAUAUAAAUAAUACUAUAGACAUUCUUUGUUGAAAACGCCACAGCACCAGCAGCACUUAUUGGAUAUAUUGGCUUGUAGGCCUCAGGGGCGGACCCACGUUCAUGGGAGUGGGGGCCUAGGACCCCACUCAAAAUAUGAAACUCCAGUUAUAUUUCUUUAAAAUUUCAGAUUUUUUUGCCAAAACUAUGUAAAUUUAUACAAAGUUUGCCCCCACUCCUAUUGUUUGCCCCCACUUAAAAUAGUUUCUAGGUCCGCCCCUGGUAGGCCUAUUUAGGUGAGGAAACGUGGCCUGGUCCAUGCACGUCACUUUAUUUCUUGGCCUGUAGGCCAUUUGGAGAGGAAGCGGGCGUGCGAGCAGAUAAGGAAACAGAGAGAACAGCCACGCAUCAGGGUUUCCCCAGAGCGCUGCUUCUCCCGUUCUCAUCCCGUGCUCGAUCUGGUGCUUAGCACAUUACCACGCCAGCCCUCCUCUCCCCAUGGCUUCUUCUUCAAGGGAGGCAGGGUGCUCCCCGCACCGCCGCACGACCACCGCCGCAGCUGCUCGCCCCGGGGGCGCCGGUGAGGCCGAGGGCCGCCGGCGACCACGCGCCCCGGACUGCAGCACGGUUCAGCGCCAUGGCCGCGGCGUACUGCCGCAGGAUGCGGCGCGCCUCUGGCGGAGGCGUGGGAGGGAGGGGCGAUGCUGGAGGCGGGGGCGGAGUCGCCGGUGAUGGUGGAGGCGGCGUCGACGACGAGCCCUGGCCCUCUUCUUCUUCUUCCAUCUUGAUGGCACCGUUCAGAUCGGGAACAGCGGGGUAACCGUCUGUUUUUGCUGCUGCCGGCGUCGAGGACGGCAGAUCCGAGACGGGGCCAUAUCCUGGGGGAAGUGGUGCUCCGGUAGUUCGUUUGAUGGCGUCGGCGACGGAAGCCGCGGUGGUGCGCCCGUACGCGUUGGGCACGGUCCGAACUCGUGCUGCAUGCAGUACGGGGGUAGAGGUGGCAGCGCGAGUUCGCAAGGGAACAACUCUUCUCCUCCGAGGAACGGCGCUGAUGGUCCUGCAUGAAGCCAAUCCAUCGGAGGGAUGUUGAAGGCAGAUGGCGGAGUGGCCGGUGCGAUGUAGUCGCCGGCGACGGCCGGAGCCGAAGGCACGGCCUGAUGUAUUGCAGGUAUGUCCCCAUUUGCAGCAGGGGUCGGAGCGGAGGAUCCAGCCCGGUGCACCGUCGGUGCUUUCCCACGUAGUGGGUGGUUGCCUCGCCGGGCAUAGCCACGACGACGGUUCUGGCGGUGGUUCCUGGCGAAGAAGCGACGACGAGGGCCACUCCUUGCACCAAGUCCCUGACGGCGACGUGCAACACGGUGGCGAUGGGUGCGUGGAAAAUGAUUGCUCUCUUUCUACAGAAAGCGUGCAAAAGCGAAAGCAACCGACGGCAACUCCCUUCCUGCCAUUCUUACCUUUCUGGUGAUGGCUCUCUGUCGCUCUCGGCAGAGCAAGUGCUGAUAACGUGUGGAAUGUAAAAACGAGAGAAGGGAAUAAAAUGAUGGAACCGUUGCUUUCAUUGAUGGAUUGGGAGUAUAUAUACCCCUGGUACCACUACUGGAAUAUGCUGGUUUGCCGACAGCCAGAGCUGACGGCAAAGGACAGUUUAACUGAUGGCAAAGGCUUUGCCGUCAGUGUGCUGUCGGCAAAGGUACCGGCCAAGAUUUUAUCAGCAAUCACCUUCUUUGCCGUCAGCUGAAGGUCGACCGACGGCAAAGACUUUGCCAUCAGCUUUGUGGCACGGGCUGACAGCAAAGAAAAGUGGCGGCAACGGCGCAGGCCGAGCUCCGUUAGAAGGUUAACGACAGGCUUUGCCCACAACCGUAGCAAAGCUGGCGGCAAAGCCGAAACCCCUGGGUCCCCUAGGUCCCAUCUUGCCCCACACUCGUAGCAAAGAUGAUGGCAAAGCCGAAACCCCUGGGUCCCCUUGGUCGCCUCUUUGCCGACAGCUGGAGCACAGCUGACGGCAAAGCCGAAAAUCUGGGAAAAUUUUGUAUUCCCAGAGUUGUCAGGAUACACAGGCUGCCGCCACGUGUCUUCUUUGCCGUCAGUCCACCGACAGCAAAGCCGUUGCCGUCAGUAAGUUGUAGGCAAAGACCUUCUCUGCUUUUUUCAUAUUUGUUUUCUGUUAAUUCCCUGCAUUUGCAAAACAUAGAUACAAACAACAACAUAUAUAUUUGCCCAGCCCCUAAACAGCACCACAAGUGCAUCACAAAGUGCAAACAGCACAACACAAGUGCAAACAGCACGAAUAUAUGUAAUUAAAGUGCAAACAAGAUCACAAAGUAUUACAAAGCAUCACAAGUGCAUCCACAAAUACAAUUGCAUUACAAAGUUCAUCUAAGACUACACAAGUGCAUUACAAAGUCCCUCGACAUCCAUCCAUAUGCCAUGCUGCUUUAUCAAAAUCUGCAUAAUGAGAAAGAAGUUAGAAGAAGAAUACAAUAAGAAAGAAGUUAUCUAAAUUAAGCUAAGCAAUUAGAAGAAGAAGUGGAAGAAGAACAAGAACAAGAACAAGAACAAGAACAAGAAGUGGAAGAAGUGGAAGAAGAAGAAGAAGAAGAUAGAGAAAAAGAAAGAAGAGAAGUUAUCUUUUUCUCCUCUUUCUUCUUCUCUUAUUUCUUCAUCUCUUGUUUGUUCUUCUCUUCUGGUUUCUUUUAAAACUUUCUAAACUAAUUAUGUCAUUUUUGAGCUCUAAUAUCAACUAGAAUUUACUAAGCUAACUAAACCAUGGCUAAUAUCAACUAGAAUUUACUAAGCUAACUAAAGCAUGGCAUAAUCUAAGUUGAUCUAAACAAUAAGAAGAAUAAGAAGGAGAGGAAUAACUUACCGAAUGCCAAGAAACGGAGGAGAAGCUCCAUCUCCGUUGGUCGCUGGGUUGCUAGGGCUCUCACCAGGAGAAGUAAAGGGAUCGUGUGAUUCAACUCUGGAAUGAUGCUGCAACAAGGCAAGAGUUAAAAUAUGUGGUUAGCACGGCGACAGACAAUGGUAUAAGACCGUGCAAGGUUGGUCAUUGAAAGGGAACUCACCGUUCCCACCGGAGAAGGCAUCGGCGGAGGGGGCGGCAAACCUUGCUUCUCACACAUAGCCUGCAAAUUAGUUUCCGAGGAGUCAAAGAAAUAGCCUUGUUGCGUCUCACACAUAGCCUUGCUUCUCACACAACUGACUUACCGCAACGAAGUCGUGCAUGGCCUUCGCAUGGGCAUUAUUGCGUGCCCUCUCCUCCUCAAGCAACCUCUGCGUAUUCCGGUCCCUCUCGUCCAACAAGAGCCUGGUGGCCUCCCUCUCCUUCAUAAGUGCGGCCUGCAACCACUCCUCAAAAGGAAUUUUCAUCAUCCAUCCAGGGACAAAAGAACGAAAGAAAUAAUGAAGAAAACUAACCUCAAUGGCAAGAUCAACUGGCCUCGCGCGUUGCCGUAUUACAGGAGCGGAGCUCGUUUGCCUCGACUUGAUCUGAGAUAUAGUCUCAGUGAUACGGACGAAGCCAUCACACAUGGCCAGCGUGCCUUGACUCUUAAAGCCACCAGAGAUCAUUAACGCCUCUGGAUCGAUAGGAUUCUGGCUCGGGUCAAAGUCAGGCCCGCGCAGCUGUUUGACCACCUCAGAAUAAGACGUCAUCUUGUUGUAGGCGGACAGGCUUGUGUACGCCGACGACCCGUCCCCCUGAGAAUAUGCCUUCGCCGUCUUGUACGAGCCCUUAUGGGCCAUGCUAAACGCGGCGUAUCCCUCAGGCUCGGGCUGGUUAUUGUGUUUGGCCUACACGAAAAGACAAAGAAUUAGUACAACAAAAAUCAUGAACAAACGAAUUAUUGAUGAAACAAAACAAGGCACACAUACCGAUUUUUUGGCGUAUUGCUUGAUGUUGGCAUUGCCUUGGUGGUGUGGCACACCAACCAAUUGGGCACGACGGUCCUUGGCCAUAGUGUGGAUGCUCAACCAAGCCUCUGUGCACCACCUAUCCACUAUCAUCUCCCAACAAUCCAUCUUAUCGGCCAACCAUCUCGGGGGCACCUAUGAAUGUAAGUUAAUGAAGAAUGAAACUAAGUAUUAUAACUAAAUAGACCUAACUAGCCCUAAGAAUUGAUCUUUGGAAUGUACAUACCUCCAUGUACUCGGUCUUAUCAAGAAAAAUCUUUCGACAUUCAGUCUUUGUCUUCGGCUCCCCUUGCUUGGCGUACCAAUCUCGAACAGCCUGAACACGCAGCUCGUGCCUUGUGUUAUUCAAUAAACUCUUGCACUCUUUCACGAGGUUCUUCUUGGACGCCUCCUCCGUCCCCUCCUCGGCCCUAAAGUAACUCCGCAAUUAUGCCAAAUAGAUGCACAGAUGAAUAGUGAAAUGAUUUGGAAGGAAAUAACAAUAUAUAACAUUGUAUACUUUUUAUUGGGUAAAAUAAUAGUUACCCAAAAAUCAGCCAACACCUUGUCGGCCACGCUCACGCAAACAACACCAUUGACAUGUGUGUUUUCCGGGAGCAGAGCGGCUUGGUAGUGCUCCCACUUGAGUCCUGGCUCGGGAACCAUACCCUCACCGGGCAACUGCACUAUCCCGGGGAAGUGCUCCCUAAGUAAAGCACCAAGGAGGCAGUUUGGAUUCCGGGUAUUCUACGGGUAAUCCCACCCCCUACAUAAUGAUAAGGCAAAGACAUUAGCUACUUGGUGAAAUAUAAUGAUAUAAGGUACACAAUAUAUAUCAACUUACUUCUCGCCAUCUGGCUUAAUGAACGCCUUGUGCUGCAACUCCAAUCGGUCUGGAACUCGUGUCAUACCAUGUUGGUAGACCGACUUGCUGGCAGCCCCCUCAGCCUCUGCCUCAGCCCCCUCCGCCUCAGCCUCCGCCUCAGCACCCUCCGCCUCAGCCCCCUCCACCUCAGCCUCCGCCUCAGCACCCUCUGCCUCCGCCUCCGCCUCAGCCCCCUGCAUCAGUGUCUGCUCCUGGACGGGAGGAUCCCGCACCGGUGACACCCUCGUCUGCAAGGGUGAAGUGGCUGAGACAGAAGUAGCCGAGGGUAGUGGCGACUGGCUCCUAUCAUGCAGCCUCCCUCUCCCACGACCAUGUCCUCUGCCUCUCUUCUUUCCUACGCCUCUCCCACGGGGCUCCUCGGCAAAGCUCUGCAACAAAGUUCUCCGUAGCUGCCCAGGUGCUAUCCUGAACUUAUCCCCGCCUGCCAUGUCUCACCACCUGUAACGAUAAAUAGUUAAAUAAUUAGUACAAAUUCAAGGACAAUAAUUAAAUGAACAAUAAUAAAUACAUGAAUAAUUCAACUAAUAAUUGAAUAAUUAAACAACAAUGUUUGGAUGCAUACAAAGUACUAAUAGUCUGGAUCAUCUGUCUCUUCUCCAUGGUCAAUUGAAGCAAAAUCAUCAUCAGUAUCAUACGUGUCGUCAUGACUGAUAUCGUCAUCGGGUUCAGGGACAUCAUGUGGAAGGCCUUUUUGUAACCGAUCAAGCAUUGAUAGCUCAUCAGCAUUGGUAACUUCUUCUACUUCCACUUCUUCCUCAUCAUCACGUGAGUCUUGUUCCUCCGUGUUCAGGGUGGACGUAGAGCAGUUUCGGGUACGACGUCUGACACCACGUGAUUCUUGGAAGAAUUCUCCAUCAUAUGUUAUUGGGUCAAUUUGAGGUUCAUAAUCGUCUUCAUUUGGGGGAGGUGGUCUAAGAUGUGGCGGCACAUCGAACACGACAUACCAACCUUCUAGGUUCUUAACACUUUGACGACAGUAUGGCAGAUAGAAAACUUGGCUGGCCUGUUGAGCCACAAUAUAGACAUCGGCACCGCUUAACUGCCUGUCUUGUCGAAUUUCGACAAUCCCAAGAUGUUCAUGAGUCCGUCUUGUCUUAGUAGGAUCGAACCAAUGACAUUUGAACACAACAACAUUUGGAGGAUUUUCACCAUAAUAAUGAAGUUCGUAGACUUCUUCAAGUCUUCCAUAAUACUCGACACCUCCCUCGCCUAUAGCAGAGACACCGGAAUUGUUUGUUUUUCGACCGGGCAUUGAAAGCUCUUUGCUAGCAGUACGAAAGCGAUACCCGUUGAUGUCGUACUUCUGAAAUGUACGGACUUUAAAGUCAAAACCAUUAGCUAUUUGUCUCAAUUCAUCGUCGACUUGCUCAUCUGAAUUAGCCUAGAAGUUAAGAAAAGAUAGAGUUUGGUGUGUUACCCAUGAGUAAUAGCAACAAAGGAAAUCACUUAUUAUAUAUAAGGGAGGUACCUUUUUUUAAACCAAGAGAUGAAACCGGGAUAGCCGCCUCCUAUCUUUUCAAGAAGUUCAUACUCGAGAAUGGAUUCUUUUUCGAUUGCAACACCCAUUCGAGAAUUGUUCGACGUAUCGGCUGUAUCAAUUAAUAAUAGUUGUUAGACACAAAACUUGUUAAAAGUUGCGAAACAAUGUACAGAGUACUUACUUGAUGUAUGGCCGAACUUCUGUUAAAUUGUUCAAUAUAUACAUCGUUAGUGUGCGCCACUCCUCGACACACAACAACUUUGGUUUUCCCACACCAGAAGGUGCGAGCUUCCCUUUGAAAAGGCUGAGAUUGGAUUCACGUCGUUUGGGGUCGCCCAGAUUGUACCGAGGCUUUGGAUUAUGCAGGCUGUGCAUAGUGGCAUCAUAGUGUGCUGUUACGAAGUUUGCCGCCUCCUCGGUAAUGAACGCCUCGGCCAUCGAUGCUUCAAUUCUACGUUUAUUUUUACAUUUUCCUCGAAGUGUCUUCUGCAUUCUUUCAGUUGCGUAGCACCAACGAUUUUGCACAGGGCCACCCAAUCUUGCCUAUGUUGGGAGAUGCAAAAUCAUGUGUUGCAUCGGAUUAAAGAAACCCGGUGGAAAAAUCUUCUCUAACUUGCAGAGCAACUCAGGCGCCAACUCUUCCAUGUCAUCUAUCAAGACACGCGACAACUCUUUAGCAAAAAGAACACGGAAGAAAUAGCUCAACUCGGCCAAUACUAGCCAUUCAGCCUCGGGGAUAUAGCCACGCAACAUCACCGGCAUUAUCCGCUCAAGCCAUAUGUGCCAAUCAUGACUCUUGAGCCCAAAAAUUUUCAUUUUUUCAAUGCUCGCUCCCCUCGCUAGAUUCGCAGCAUACCCAUCGGGGAACAACAACUUUUUUGCACCCACAAGAGGAUUUCCCUUAUUGCUCCCUUCUCAAGAUUGUACCACGCAGGUGGUUUGGACCAAUUUUUUCUUCCUUUCGGUUCUCGCAUGUUUAGUGAUGGCCUAUCACACAGAGUCUCCUGGUCAACUCUAGCCUUUAUAUUAUCUUUGCCCUUAUCGGUGCCGAAAAAUGUGCCAAGAAGGGCCUCGACGAUAUUCUUUUCAGUGUGCAUCAUGUCAAUGUUGUCUGGAAGUAAGAGGUUUUCGAAGUAGGGGAGAUCCCAGAUGCAUGGCUUGUGGGUCCAGGCGUGUUCCUCAUUAUAACCCAAGAAAUACCCUGGACGGUUUGGAUCAGGCUCCAUAGAUUUUAACUGUUCAUUAAUUUGUGCCCCCGUCAACGCAGGUGGUGCUGAGUGUUUGACAACUUUACCUUUCAUGAAAUUCUUCUUGUCUUUUCUGAAUGGAUGGUCCAUAGGCAAGAACUGUCUAUGCAAGUCAAAGCAGGAAUACUUCCCACCCGCCGGCAACCAAUGAAACUUAAGAGGUGCCUUGCACUAUGGGCAUGGGAACCUUCCAAGCACACACCAGGCAACGAAAAGCGCAAAUGCUGGCAGAUCAUGCAACGAGUAUUAGUAUCAAACAUACAUUUAAAAGUUCUCUUUCUUAGCUGUGUCGUAUGUGUUGACCCCAUUCACCCAAGCUUCUUUCAAGUCAUCCAUCAGCGGUUGCAUGUACACACUCUUCUUCCCCGGGUAGUUUGGCCCUGGAACUAUCAACGUCAGAAAUAUGUGCUUUCUUUGCAUAAUGGAUGAUGGUGGAAGAUUGAGGGGAAUGACAAAUACAGGCCAGCAACUAUAUUUGGUAGCCGUCAUACCAAAAGGAUUGAACCCAUCGAGGCUGAUGGCGAUUCGACAAUUCCUUGGUUCUUUAGCUUUUUCCUGAUGUAUACUAUCGAAUGCCCUCCAUGUGUCACCAUCUGAAGGGUGUACCAACAUCGUAACUCCGUGUUCAUCUAAUUCUUUCUUAAUUCCAUGUUUGUGCCAUGUCAUUUGUUUUGUUGUUUCUUCGAGCAUGUAAAGUCGUUGAAGUCUUGGUAGGAUCGGCAGAUACCGUAGGACACUCACGGGGAUUUUACUCUCCUGCUUCUCACCUUCACCGUUUUCUACCUCAACAUAUCUGGAGGACUUGCAAAAUGGACAAUAUGUUUCGUCCGCAUACUCUUUCCUAAAUAAGGCACAUCCCUUCUCACAAGCAUGUAUCUGCUCAUACGGCAUCUUGAGUGCACUAAGGAUUUUGUCUGACUCAUAUAGGUUUGAAGGCAUAAUAUGACCUUUUGGUAGAAAGCGCCCAAAUAGGGUCAUCACUGAGUCAAACAGGUCUCUUCCAAUGUUGAACUGGGCUUUCAGAGCCAUUACUUGUGCGAUGGUAUCUAGCUGAGAAAUCUUAGUGUGCUCGUGAAGAGGACGUUUUGAAGACUCCAACAUGGCAUAGAAGGCUUUCGCGGAUUCCUCCAUCUCUUCAUCCUUGUUCCGAGCAUCAUCAAAUUCAUUCACCAUGUCUUCAAUCCCUGUACCAUAAUCAUCGGUGCGCCGACGCGACACCUCGUCUCUGUUACGUUGGGCCGACUCACCAUGAAAUGUCCACAAGGUAUAGCCGGGAGUAAAACCACGCAUCUGCAGGUGUUUACCCAUUACAUCCUUUGUCUGUCGCGAAUAAUUCUUGCACUUAGUGCAGGGGCACCAUGUUUUUGGCUGGCCUUUAGAAAAUGCCGUUUCCACGAAUUCAUAGGUUUUGCUCAACCAUUCAUCGGUCAUAUCUCUCUCACUAUGAUGACGGGUGUACAUCCAUUCACGACCAGUCAUUCUGGCAAGCUAGCUACAUAGUAUCCACAUAUAAAACAAUAUAAAUUAUCAAUUCAUCAAGUAUGUUAAAUUAAUUAUGGCCAUUUUUUAAUCAUGGUUAAUACAUUGGGAUGCACGGCAUGCACACCUACCAGCUACUAGGUAAAGAUGGGUCCUAAUCCCACCCGAGUAUGUGUAGAUUGGGUCAUUUCCCCAUGCUCUGCUCCCGACCCAACGCAAAAUUUCGGCAGCACCUCCUCGCUGUUCUCCUGAUACACGUCUCGGCAACUAACCGAGAGGAUGUGUACCCGGAGAACAACAAGGAGGAGCUGUCGAAACUCUGCAUGGGAUCCGGAGCAAAGCAUGGGAAACGACCCAAUCUACACAUACCCGGGCUGUCCAAGGAUAACGUUGGAUAAUUCAAAAGAAUCACCGUUAUAAAUAUGCAAAUGCAUGCAUAUUUAUGACAGGAACCCUUUCAAACGGGAGACGCAUAUUGGUUACGCAACACCUUUGCAUUUUAAUACUAAAAAUACGUAGCUAGAUAGUGUCAUCAGCACGAAGGCCGGAACAGAGCAAAAUAAAGAGGGUGGAGGAGGAGUUAACAAAUGUGCUCACUUUCGAAUGCAGGGGAGGUCGUCGAAAACCAAUCCCUCGCGGAGAAGCUACUGCACGUUUAAAUGCACUCAAUCAACACAAAUACGCACUCGCGGUAAUUAAAUAAUUGCUAACUAAAUUUAACUUUUCUCCCCCUUCUACUUUCUCUUUUUCCUUUUCUUCUUCUUCUUUCUCUUUUUCUACUCGCGGUAAUUAAAUAAUUGCUAACUAAAUAAUUCUCCCCCUUCUUCUUUCUCUUUUUCCUUUUCCGUGUUUGGUUGGGGGAGUUGGAGGUAGGGAAUGGGAGUUUAAGAUUAAUGAGACUAAAAAAUUUGUUGAUUGGUUCAGGGACUUGGGAUUUAACCAGGGAAGGGGAAGGGGAAUUACUAGGGCCAACUCCCAUCGAUCUCUACCCUGGGGAGCCCUGGUAAUUCAGCGAAGGAAUGGGAGUUGACGUGUGAAAACAUAUUGUUACUGAUUUUGUGGCCCACCUCCAGAAGCAAAAGAAAGAAAAAACUACGAACAAACUAGCUAAAUGCAUGCGGCAGCAUAAUUUCUCCUCUAAACAAACCGGCCAACGCUAACUACUUUCUAAUCUACGUCAAAUAGGAGCCCAUCUCUCGUAACCUACCCUUCCUUUUUUUUGUUCAUAAGAAUUAUUCCCACAGAUAAUUCCCAACCAAUACCAACCGCUGGAUUGGGACUAAAUAGUCCACUACCCAUGUAAAUCCCUCGGCCAACUCCCUCUCACAAAUUCCCAGUCCCUUUCCCAUAAACUACCAAAGACGCUAAGUACCUCCUUCUAAUUGCUAACUAAAUAAUUGCUAACUNGUGGGGCUGGUGCGGGGCGGCGCGGCGGGGCGGGGCGGGGUGGGGCUGGUGUGGGACGACGGCGGUGGGUCGGGAGAGCACGGAGAGUAGGGAGAGCAGGGAGAGAGAACCGGCCGUUAGGGCAUGCAGUUAGGUCGUGUGCACGGGGGAAACAACGGAGCUAUGCCGUCAGCUAGCUGUCGGCAAAGACAACCGUUAGGCUUUGCCGUCGGCUGGCUGUCGGCAAAGCGGUGCCCCAUUAAGCCGUGGUCGCACGUGGGACCGGGGAGCUCCCUAUGUCGUCAGUCUCCCUAUGCCGUCAGUGUUUUUCGCCUUUGCCGUCAGCUGGCUGACGGCUUAGACAAAGCGGACGGCAUAGAUUAUCUAUGCCGUCAGCCUCUCAUAUGUCGUCAGUACUUAUUUUGGCUGAGGGCAAAGUCUCUUUGCCGUCAGCCCCGUGAAAUUGCUGACGGCAAAGCUGAAAGCUGUCGGCAAAUUAUGUUUUUCCAGUAGUGUACAAGGCAGUUACUACAAGUAGCAACCGNNNNNNNNNNNNNNNNNNNNNNNNNNNNNNNNNNNNNNNNNNNNNNNNNNNNNNNNNNNNNNNNNNNNNNNNNNNNNNNNNNNNNNNNNNNNNNNNNNNNNNNNNNNNNNNNNNNNNNNNNNNNNNNNNNNNCUACAAGUAGCAACCGACUUAGCGGGGAUUAACCCUUUAAUUAAUCUAAUUAAUUUAUUUCUAACAACUUUCUAGCAUGUUUGUCAACCUCAACCCUUUCUUACUUCAUGCUUUGCUGUCAUCAAAUUUAUGUUCCAAAUUCUACUCCAAGAGAAAAUGUGCAAAAUAAACAUGCCUAGCCAUAUGCACAAUGCAUGAAAGAAUAAAAUAAUUGAUCUCAUUCUAUAUUGGCGUAAACAAUAUUGAAAUCUGAGAUGGGCUUAAGGCCCACGAGACAAUUUCAUAACUCUCCAAGGGCUCAUGUAGGCGAUGGUAUGGCAAGGGGUGGUGGAAAGUUUAGUCUCACCUCGUUAGUGGAGAAGGAGUUGGACCCUUUUAUAAGGCUCUCUCUUCUACAUGCUAUUGAAGCAUGAGAAGAGAAGAGGCCCUCGCGCACUCCUCCUCCGUCGCCCGCAUCGCCGCGGGAAUGAGCCGAGCGCGAGCUCAUACCUACGUGCUUAUUUUUACCGAUCAAGCUGGCUCAUGUACUCCUGGCGCCACUACUGUUGUUGUUGCGACCAACUGACCGACUGGUGGGUAUAACUCGUUUAUCCCGCUCCUACUUAUUAUUGUCUUAGGCAUAUUGAUGAUUUGCCUAUAUAUAUCUACUAUCUGUCUCGUACGUGAUGUCAUGAUCAAUUAUCAGUAUGUCAUGCUAGUGAUUAUUUUGUGGAUUAAUCUAAUUGAAAAUUUUCUUAUUUACUAAACAAACAGGUGAAGUAUCUGACAUGAACAUGAUACAGGGGACAAUCUUGAUUUUUUUAUAAUCCAGUAAAAAUCGAAAGGAGAAAUUUGUUGUGGUUGGAAGCUCAUAUAGUUCCAUAUAAUAGAUACACACAUGCAAGAGGAACGACUAGUUCGCACUCUUGCGUGUAAUGAAUUAGACCCACGAAGUACAAGGAUUUCCUUGAGAGAAAAAUUGAUUUAAAUCGGAGAUAUGGAAGGAAACGAGAACAAGAACUCUCCAAUUUGUCCACCUUUUGCAUCACAGUGGACACGUGAGAUACUCAAAACCCAUAGCAAAACAUCUCAUAAAAAGCACCAUUCAAGAAAUGGACCGCAGAUUGAGAUGAGCCAUUUGGAUCAAGCCACAUCAGAAAAGGAGACAUCCAUAGUGGAAAACAUGGCGAUAUGCUUGCUACGUUUUGCUAAUUAAUGUUGCUUAGCUGUAGUGUUGAACUUUGUUGGAUUUGUUUAGUAGCCCUCGUAUCCCCAGCCCAUUACGUAUUCAGGUUUCAAGUGUUGUUUCUUGCAUUUCUUUUUUAUUUAUUUCAGGAUUUUCGGCGAUACGUUUUUGGUGAGAGGAGACGUUUCUGUUGAUGACAAGGCGCCUACAAUGACUUCGUAAAUCUUAAGAUGAUAUGUCGACUCAUUCUUUCGAAGGUGCUUAUAGAAAUAGGGUAUACAUGUAUAUGGUUAUAGGAAUGAGUGUAUGCGCGUGUAUAUGAUCGCUUAGAAAAGAUAGCUGGCUUCGCCCCUGCCAACGCUCGUAUACGAUUGAUGUGGACGUCAAGACAUGCCGCGUCUCCUUAACAAAGAUCGCAAUCCCGUAAAAAACAAAGAUUGCAAUCCCUAGGGAACAAUAGACCGCACUUAGUGACACUGCCGGCGGUACACUUUUGUUACUUCAUCUACGAAGGCUUGGCCUUCAACUAGAUAUCUGGACGUAACACGAUGAUGGAGGGGCUGAGGAUGGUGGUCUGUGGCUUUGCACUCCAGAUGUCGUGCUAUGUUACGAGUAUGGUGGGGUUCUCCCUCACUUACAGAUACGAACUUGGAUACAAAGGAGAAAUGAAGGAAGACGAAGCAAUGAAGUGUUCUGGUUCUUGACAAAUCUCUCCCCUCUUCUUUCCCUUACUUAUCUUUUUCCCUGCUGGACUCGCCAGGCUCUGUCCAGCUGGCGAUUGACAAUGAGUAUGGCGCGGCUUAACCGUAAGAGCAUCUCCAACAGCCGCGCUAUACUAGCGCCGCGCAGCAAAAAAAGGGACUAUAGCGCGCGCGCAACGCGGCCGACAGCUCCAGCGGGCGCGCAAAAAACGCGCGCGCGCUAAAACGAGUUGGACGCGCUGGCCAUAGCCUCAUCCCGCGCGGUUAAUUUCGGGCGUCCACUUCCGCGCGCGGCAGACUCGAGCGCGCGCGCGAACUCGCCCUUUCCUUCCUCCUUCGCACACGCGCGCGCCGGCGCCAGCGCCCCGGCCACCAUGGACGCGCACACCGGCGCCCCGCUGACCCCGCUGUACAGCCGCGACCCUCCCGCCGCCGCAGCCGCCGCCGAAAACCCUAGCGCGGCGAGCGUUGGCGCAGGCGCCGCCGCCGCCACCGGAGCUCCGCCGACCGUCGGCCUCGCGCGCAGCCUCUUCUUGCCGCCGCGGAUGACCACGCCGACGGGUGGCGUCGCGCCGGCGCCGUCCCGUGCUGCCGCCGCGCCGUCAAAGCUCCCCAAUGCGUCGGAGCCGAAGAAAGGAAAAACAUCCGCGAAAAAGAAGGCGGCGGACGGCUCCGGCAGCUCGAAGCCGAAGAAGAAGCUUGCAGGGCGGCGGACGGGCGCGGCGUCUACCGAAGCGCCGAUGAGCUCACUCGUUGAGCCGGCGGCCGACGCGCACCACGUGUUUGACGAAAUGCUCCCAAGGUGAAAAAAAUUCCAACUUUUACUUUCUUGUUAUUUUUUCCUAUAUUUGAAAGCUGCUGGAGCGGCGCGCGCUGCAUUUUAGCGCGCUGCUGGAGCGGAGCGCGCGCGCUGCAUUUUAAAGCUGCUGCUGGAGCCAGCGCUGCGCGACGCGGCAAACCAGGCGACCAGCGCGCGGCAAACAGGUUUUUUAGGCGCGACGCGUAGCGCGGCUGUUGGAGAUGCUCUAAGCCGGCAGAGCAGGAAAUUGUUGAUGUAGCAAGAAAGCUUCCUCCUAUGAAUCAUGAUCUGUAGAACGGUCUUUCCAACGUACCUUGACACGAGGUAUGAUCUUUGUGACAGCCCGAUGCCGACGUUCCGGAAGAUUCCCCUCCUAUUCCGUUUUCGUUGUGUGGUUCGUUUGUCUGUCGCAUUCAACAUCGCAUCAUGCGCAUCAUCUGCAUUGCAUCGGCAUCUCCGUUGUCGCCAGUUUUCAAACUUGCAUCCGUUGUUAGUUGCCGGUUCUCGUCGUUGUUCGUUCUGAGCCCGACCGCACUCGCACGCGCCCGCNNNNNNNNNNNNNNNNNNNNNNNNNNNNNNNNNNNNNNNNNNNNNNNNNNNNNNNNNNNNNNNNNNNNNNNNNNNNNNNNNNNNNNNNNNNNNNNNNNNNNNNNNNNNNNNNNNNNNNNNNNNNNNNNNNNNNNNNNNNNNNNNNNNNNNNNNNNNNNNNNNNNNNNNNNNNNNNNNNNNNNNNNNNNNNNNNNNNNNNNNNNNNNNNNNNNNNNNNNNNNNNNNNNNNNNNNNNNNNNNNNNNNNNNNNNNNNNNNNNNNNNNNNNNNNNNNNNNNNNNNNNNNNNNNNNNNNNNNNNNNNNNNNNNNNNNNNNNNNNNNNNNNNNNNNNNNNNNNNNNNNNNNNNNNNNNNNNNNNNNNNNNNNNNNNNNNNNNNNNNNNNNNNNNNNNNNNNNNNNNNNNNNNNNNNNNNNNNNNNNNNNNNNNNNNNNNNNNNNNNNNNNNNNNNNNNNNNNNNNNNNNNNNNNNNNNNNNNNNNNNNNNNNNNNNNNNNNNNNNNNNNNNNNNNNNNNNNNNNNNNNNNNNNNNNNNNNNNNNNNNNNNNNNNNNNNNNNNNNNNNNNNNNNNNNNNNNNNNNNNNNNNNNNNNNNNNNNNNNNNNNNNNNNNNNNNNNNNNNNNNNNNNNNNNNNNNNNNNNNNNNNNNNNNNNNNNNNNNNNNNNNNNNNNNNNNNNNNNNNNNNNNNNNNNNNNNNNNNNNNNNNNNNNNNNNNNNNNNNNNNNNNNNNNNNNNNNNNNNNNNNNNNNNNNNNNNNNNNNNNNNNNNNNNNNNNNNNNNNNNNNNNNNNNNNNNNNNNNNNNNNNNNNNNNNNNNNNNNNNNNNNNNNNNNNNNNNNNNNNNNNNNNNNNNNNNNNNNNNNNNNNNNNNNNNNNNNNNNNNNNNNNNNNNNNNNNNNNNNNNNNNNNNNNNNNNNNNNNNNNNNNNNNNNNNNNNNNNNNNNNNNNNNNNNNNNNNNNNNNNNNNNNNNNNNNNNNNNNNNNNNNNNNNNNNNNNNNNNNNNNNNNNNNNNNNNNNNNNNNNNNNNNNNNNNNNNNNNNNNNNNNNNNNNNNNNNNNNNNNNNNNNNNNNNNNNNNNNNNNNNNNNNNNNNNNNNNNNNNNNNNNNNNNNNNNNNNNNNNNNNNNNNNNNNNNNNNNNNNNNNNNNNNNNNNNNNNNNNNNNNNNNNNNNNNNNNNNNNNNNNNNNNNNNNNNNNNNNNNNNNNNNNNNNNNNNNNNNNNNNNNNNNNNNNNNGCCAAUGCUUAGUUUCGGCCCGAUAGCCAGAUCUGGCCCGCGUAGGAUUUUAUUAAUUUUGGCUAUUUAAUUCUUUUUCAGAAAAGGGCAUAUUUUCAAACGCGUGUAGUUUUAAAUCCGUGUGUCGGAUCGGAGAAUAUUAUAUAUGUAAAACGUGUAGUUUCUCGCGUAGAACCCGAUUAUAAUACUUGCAUAUUUAGUUGACGUAGUUUUACGUGCCGAACGCCUAGUUUAACGUGAUGUCCUAUAUUGUUUCGUCCCGUAUUUAUUUUUCUUGCGGUCCGGAUUGCUGGAGUGCCUUAGGUAAAAUGCCCAUAUUUUAGGGACCAUUUUUUUAUGCAUUUUAGAGCGGUUAAUUGUAUUUUUACAUGUAGGGAUUUUCCGGUAAUUUAUUUUCCCGCGUAUAGGUUUUUUUCUCGCAUUUAUGUGCGGCAUUAUUUUGUGUUGCAAACCCCACAUAUUUUAUAUGUUUUCGGGGUAGAAAAAUCCAUGGAAUUUUUCUGUUCAAUUAGUUUUAGCUUUUGAGCAAGUUUGUUCGCGCGAUAUUUUGCUAUGUUGCCCUUUUGUUUAAUUCGUAGGAUUUAUUCCGUGCAUCGUUUGUCGGAGUUGUCAACUAGAGAGUUAAUCUUGGGUGUUUAGACUAGCCCCUAGUAUUUUUGGUUGCAAUAGAAAUGCAUGUUUAGGUGUGUUUCGAUAGCCCUCAAGUUGCUAGAAAUAGUGCUGAUUUGGAGGAGCUGAAAUAUUUCUAAGUCUGAAAUCUGUUAUAUUUUGUUGCUGUCUUGACUGGCUUGCAUCUUGUGAUCUGUAGCUCUUUUGAGGUUGGUUCAAUGGAGUUAGUUGUACCCCUUGUGUUUCUCUAGCAUGCUGUAAAUUUUUCAUGCCAUUUGGAGUCCUGUAGCUAUAGGUUUUGCUGCUGUCAAUAUAGCUUCAGAUCGAAAACUGCACUUUCAUGAGGUGUAAUUUUCACUAAGUCUGAAAUAGUGUGUGAGAUGCCAUUUUGUGUCUUCUUUUCCUAGUGCUCCUUGCUUCCAUGCUAGUUGUAGUUAGCUGUUCGUAGUAGUGCUUCUUGUCCUCUUCCGUGCCAUGCCUUGCUUGAGCAUAUCGGAGUUGUGUAGCCGUAGUUGUGAGGCGUAGAAAGUGCUAUGUGGCUGAUUUUGGCAGAUUGUAGUGAUUUCUUGAUUUGCUCGUAUCUUUUGAACCGUAGCUCCGUUUUGAUCGUGCCCUACAUGGAACUUGCUUAGAAUCUCGUGUAGUUUCAUUUUCUCUUGUUGGUUGUAUGAUUUGAGGUGCUUGUAGCCGUCGUUGCACGCAUAUUGCAUUCAUGCCAUCAUAUCUUGCGGUGUUUGUAACUUUUGAUCCGUAGCUCCGUUGGAGAUGAUCUCUAUGUGUAGAUUGCUUGCCAUGACGCGUAGAAUCACGUGAACCUAUUUGUUUUGCUGUUUAACAACUAAUUAAAUGCGUCAGUUCAGAUCUGGACAUAAUUGUAAAUUAACAUGUGAGGUCGUUUCGGAGGUGCUAUAAGUCAUUUCCGACCUUAUUCAAAAUGCCUAGAUAAGUAGUUUAAUUUGCGCUUCACCUCUUGCCAUGUUUAACAACAUUUAAUAUUGUCGUGUACCUAAUUGAGAUAGAACGAAAUAAUCCGUAUGUGGAGUUUCGUCAAUAUGUAACUCGUUGCAUAUUGAACUUUACUUAAUGUGUAGUGUUUGAUGUGUGGAUUGUCAUGCCGUGACUUGCAUGUAUUCAGCUGCUCAUGCAUCAUAUGUGUUGUGCAUCAUGUGGUGAAUUUCGUGUGUUGAUUUGUGUUUUCGGUUUGCUUCGUCUCGAUAGAGUACCACAGCGUGUCGGAUUGUGAGGACCCGUUCGACUACAUGGGUUCGUCUACUUCACGGAGGCAUUCUUCUUCCAAGCGGGAUCUCAGGCAAGAUGGUCAUUUCCCCAGAUACCAUUACUAUCAUUACCAUGCUAGUUUUAUCGCUUCUAUCGAUUAUGUCUCGUUGCCUACCACCUGUUAAAUAUCACCCUCUCAACAAUGCCAUGUUAACCUUCAACCUGUUCAACCUAGCAAACCACUGAUUGGCUAUGUUACUACUUGCUUAACCCUGUUUUAGCGUUGCUAGUUGCAGGUGCAGUUGCUUCCAUGUGAUAACAUGGGUUCCUUAUUAUAUCACCCUAUUUAAAUGCUAUUUAAUUUAAUGCACCUAUAUACUUGGUAAAAGGUGGAAAGCUCGGCCUUUAUAGCCUGGUGUUUUGUUCCACCUUUACCCCCUUAGUUUUCGGCUACCAGUGUUAUGUUCCAUAAAUGAGCGCUCCUAACACGAUCGGGGUUGUUAUGGGGACCCCCUUGAUAAUUCGUUUUAGAUUAAGACUGGUCUGGCAAGGCCCAACUUUGGUACUACAUUUGCCUAAUAACCUAAUAAAAUUGCAUAGGGACUUUCCGGACCCCGAGGAUAAUUUAAUCAACCCCCCCCCCCGGGCCAGUGCUCCGCAUGAGUGUUGGUCCACCCACCUACCAGUCGGCGGUGCCACCUCGAGCAAAUCAAGGUUUGGCUACCGUCCACUAUGCAUAAACGGUGUGUCCUGAGAAUGAGAUACGCGGCUCCUAUCGGGUUCGUCGACACACCGGGUGACCUUGCUGGAUUAGUUUUACCUUUCACGAGAUAUCUUGUGCAUCGGGAUUCUGGUGAUGCUUUGGGUAAUCUCAGAGUUGAGGUUUUUCACUAGGGAAUCCGACAAGAUCGCGAGCUUCGUGAUUGAGGAUUUCUAUGCGGCUUGUGGUAAUUUGUGAUGGACUAGUUGGAGCACUCCUGCAGGGUUAAAUCUUUUCGGAAAGCCAUGCCCGCGGUUAUGUGGCAACGUGGAAGCUUUGUUUAACACUGGUUCUAGAUAACUUGAAGUUAACUUAAUUAAAACAUGCCAACUGUGUGCGUAACCGUGAUUGUCUCUUUCGUGAGUUCCUUCUCCGAUCGAGGACACGGUGGGGUUAUAUCUAACAUAGGUAGGUGUUCAGGAUCAUUCAUUUGAUCAUCAGUAGUCACGUCUGUUAUGCGUAGAUCUUCCCCCUCUUAUUUCUGGUAUUCGUAAGUUAGCCUCCAAAAUAUAUGCUUAGCCGCUGUUGCAACCUCACCACUUAACCUUACCUCACCCAUCAAGCUUUGCUAGUCUUGAUACCUUUGGAAAUGAGAUUGAUGAGUCCCCUGUGGCUCACAUAUUACUACAACACCAGUUGCAGGUACAGGUAAAGGUUACUUGGCGCGAGCGCAUUGAUUGUUCAUUUGGAGUUGCUUCUUCUUCUUCUUCUUCAUCGAUCUAGGAUGGGUUCCAGGACGGCAGCCUGGGAUAGCAAGGAUGGACGUCGUUCUUAUUUUUCUCGUUUGUUUUCGUCCGUAGUCGGACCCUGCUCUUACUCUUGAUGAUUAUGUAUUGUACUGAUGUGACUCUGAUGUAGCUUGUGGCGAGUGUAAGCCAACUCUUUAUAUAUCUCUUCUUUUUAGUACAUGUACUUGUAACGAUAUCCAUUCUUGCGACACGACGAGAUGCGCUUCUAUCCCUGACGAGGCCCUCGUGCCAAAUUGAGGGUAGGGUCGCAUCUUGGGCGUGACAAGUUGGUAUCAGAGCAAGGACCGACCUAGGAGCCCCCUUGAUUGAUCGAACUUGGACGAGUCGAGUCUAGUGAAAAAACUUUGAGUCUAGUUAUAUAUCGGAGAGUAGGAUUCUUUUUUCUCCUCUUUUAUGCUCUAGUGAGGAAUCUUGACGUAAUAAUUUAUUCUACUCCUCUUCUCACUCAAAAAAAAAUUAGGAUCACGCGGAUAUUUUUGGAAUCUAUAUGAUGCCGAUGUGACGGAGUUCUUUCUUGGUGCCUCCUGUCUGACUUGAUUUUCUUCCGGGGAGUUGAGCUCCAGGGGAUUCUUGAGCACAUCGCUAUCAUUCAGAUUUCUUAGUAUCUCAGAACGAAGGAUGUUCAUAAUUUCUUCAAUACUAGUAGUGGUGAGAUAACCCCGAUGUCCCGAGUACUGGUGCAGAUUGUUCAGGAGUACUGCCAUACUUUGUAUCGUUGUGAUCACGACGGUCUGUUGUAGAUGAAGGUCCGAGAUUCUGGUUGUGUGUUGACGGAUGUGAUACAGGUGACGGGUUAGUAUAGGAGUUGUGUGAUUAUUACUCCUUGUAUCCGUGUACCAGAUUGCAUGACCAGAUAUUUCGGGAAUUCAUAGGUGGGAAUUCAAGUAGUUGCUUAUAGGACAAUCUUCCAACAAAUGCAUGAUGUUAGGUUGGGGUUCGACAUCUAGUGGAUUCGUUUGUUCACGGUCGACUUACAGCGGUACACGUUGUGUCUUAAAGAGUCCUUGUAGCUUGCUACGACUCGGGAAAACUUCGUAUGUCGGGUGCACUGCCUUGCACUUGAUGGCUACUAUAAAAUCGAGCCCGUGCGAUCCUGUCCACGAAAAUAUCGGACGAAAUCUUUCUCAUGAGUUUGUUCUGGCUUGCUUCAUAAGCCGCACCCUUUGUUUUGUUGAAUGUGGUAAUUCAAGUUGCUUCGAUGUCAAGCGGUGACUUCAGAUCUUUUCUAAGCAGUGUUCUCAUAUUUCUAUGAGAGUGAUAAUCCUUUUGCUUAAUCAUUUGUCUUAUUAAUUCUUGUCAACCGGAGUCGUCAUGUUAAUUCAAUUCAAACGGUGUGCUUCUCUUCAGUGAAUCAAUCCUCUCCAAUUUUUACAAAUCAUUCUCUCAAUUAUUUCCGGAGUUGUCUCAUCUAGCCCAAGUUGUCUUUGUUUUUCCCCAUCCUCCCACCCUUUUCUUCAGUCAUUCAAUUUUCAUCCUAGAGUUUUCUUUUCAUUGUGCUUCCGCUGUCUGUUCUUUUCUCUCUUACCCGGUGAUUCGUUGUGAAGAUUCUCAGGAGCUUCGUGUUCAUCUUUAUUCAAUCUUGUCAUCCUUACCGGUGAAUUCAAUUUAGUUGUCGGUGUCAUCUUAUCCAUUCAUCCUUGUAAUUCUUUCCUAUAUUAGAAAUUCUUAUGAGCCUAUCUUGUUGCUAAUUCCUCUCUCUUUCUAUCCGGAGUGUUAAGAUAUUUUAGAAGUUUUUGUUUCCAAUCUUUUCAACUAUUUUGAGGUGCUCAACCUCAUCAAGUUUUCAUUUCUACCGGUGCAAUAUCUCUCUUUCUAGCAAUCUUUUCAACGGUGGUUUCUUUGAGUGGGCCCAUAACCCACAGAUUCUUUCCCAGGAUCUUUCCUGACGCUUUUAAUCUUUUCCUGGAGAUCAUUAAAUCUUUCAACUAUGACGUAAGUAUGAAUUUCAUUAGUCAUAUUCAUUCUACAAGAUCAAUUGGAGUUAAUUCUCAUAUUUGGCUCAAUCUUGCAUUCUUCUUUUUUUCCGGAGGUCUCAGCUAUUCUUGGUGUUGUUCCUCGUCAUCAUUCUCAGCUUGCAAAUUCGAAGGAGUGUUUGUCUCAGUCUUGCUCGAUUCUUGUAAAGAUUGUCAUUUCAGCUUCGUGGCAUUAUCUUAUUUGCUCCAAUCAUGAGUAAUCCCUUUCGUGCUAUCCGGUGCUUUUCUGAGUUGUUUUCAUUCUCGAUCCUCCGAAGGCCAUCAUCCAGAAGAUUCUUCGUUCUCAGCUUUCAGCUUUCAUCCUCAAUUCUUCUCAUUUAUUGUCUCUUCGUUCGUCUCUCGUUUACCGGUGCCUUGUUCAAGUUUUCUCUCAGGUGGCUCAUGAUCUCUUCAUUCUCAGGUGUUUCCAUGCAUUCUUGGAAUUUCCCAUUCAGUUGUGAAUUCUUACCGGUGCGUCCUGCAAUCAUGCUUCAUGUGGUGCAUAUCUAUCUCUCUCUUCAAGAUUCUUUCAAGAAGAAUAAGUCAUAUGCUAAAUCCGUUGCUUGUCAUCAAUUUAACUUGAUGAAGGAUAAGCAUAACAUAAUUCUUAUUCUUGUUCAUAGUGUUUUGAAUUCUUCUUCCGGAGUAGUUCAUGAUAUCAAUCCAUUCUCAAGUGUUCUUCAAGAUUAUUGUUGGAGAACCUCAAGUAUCCUUUCUCUUGCAUUUUCAAGUGCAUUUGUUCUUCCUUUAUCCUUGACGUGGUAUUAUAGCAUUCUUGUUAGUGUAGGAGCCUCGAAGAGUUUUCCUCUCAAGUAUGAGAUAAUUAAACCCACCAAUUCUAUGAUCAUGAGAUAUUUCAACCCAUGAUUUCUUCAUUGAGCUAUCUUGGUUUGGAUUUCACCUAAAGCUUUUCCUAUGGAUUGUUGCUAUCAUGGUGCUUGUCAUUAAUCCAAGUUCUCAAUGUAUCCUCUUGGUGUAAGAAAUUGUUCAUAUCUUGUUUCUCCCAAUCUAUCCUUGUUCCUUUUAGUGGUUGGUUGUCACCUCAUAUUUGUUGAGAUGAUUUUCAUAAGCCCACUACUGUCUUGUUCUUUUCGUUGUUGUUUUUCCAACAACUCUGUUCAAUUCUUCUUGCAAGGGUGCUUGCCAAGUUCAUUUGAGAUAGUAGUUUUCAUUCUUUUCUUCAUUCUCUUCUUCCGCUUGAGCUAGUUCCUAUUCUAUUGUUCCGGAGGCUUUGUGAUGUUGCUCUUUUGGGUCUAUUAUGUUGUUCUAUCAAGAUCAUGGUGUUCCCUUGCUCUAUUUACUUGUUUGUUGUGAUUAUUGUCUAUUUCUUCCACCUUGUCGAAUUUUUUGUCCCAUUUUCCUACCGAAGUGCUGCCGAAAUUUUCUGUGAAUUCUUGCUUCUUUCUCAUGUCAGUCAUCAUCUCUUUUCAACCUUCAAGGAUUGUUGGUGUCACUCAUUUGUCAAAGAAGCGACUAAGUUCUACCCCUUGUUCUUCCUCAUCCUCUUCCCCUUUCAUUCUUGGAUCUCGGGGCGAGAUCCUCUUGUAGUGUAGGAGAGUUGUGACUCCUGAUGCCGACGUUCCAGAAGAUUCCCCCUCCUAUUCCGUUUUCGUCGCGUGGUUCGUUUGUCUGUCGCAUUCAUCAUCGCAUCAUGCGCAUCAUCUGCAUUGCAUCGGCAUCUCCGUUGCCGCCAGUUUUCAAACUUGCAUCCGUUGUUAGUUGCCGGUUCUCGUCGUUGUUCGUUCUGAGCCCGACCGCACUCGCACGCGCCCGCAACAUCGUUCGAUUCCUGUUUUUAAAAGUGUGCAUAAAACUUUCUCUGAUGAGGGUGAAACUUGGCAUGCGAUCGUAAUUUGUUUUAGUUAGGCCGCCUGUCGAAUUUCGUCGCGAUCGGAGUUCGUCUGGUACCCGAACGGUCGACCGUAGCGGCACCGUAUUCGGUCUAUCGUCGGACGUUUUAUCGGUGUUUUAAAUUACGUUGUCGGGUGCCCGUUUCCCUCUCGUCAUAGCCAACACCCCUCUACACGGCCUAAACCUAACCCUAGGACGUUUCCGGAGCGUCCGAUCUCAAUCGGAGGGUCCGAAAACGCCCGAAACCCUAAGCCUAGUCCUUUCCUUCUAUAAAUGGACAGCGAAUCCUCCCUCUCCUCGUUUUCAGCGCCCUAACCCUAGCCAGCCAACCUUCCACCUUCUCCUCGCGCCGCCGGGCCCACGAGCCCGCAACCGGCCCGCCCGGGCCCGAUCUGGACCGUGCAGCACCAGNCCGUUUUGAUCGUGCCGUUCAGGAUCAUUCAUUUGAUCAUCAGUAGUCACGUCCGUUAUGCGUAGAUCUUCCCCCUCUUAUUUCUGGUAUUCGUAAGUUAGCCACCAAAAUAUAUGCUUAGCCGCUGCUGCAACCUCACCCCUUAACCUUACCUCACCCAUCAAGCUUUGCUAGUCUUGAUACCUUUGGAAAUGAGAUUGCUGAGUCCCCUGUAGCUCACAUAUUACUACAACAUCAGUUGCAGGUACAGGUAAAGGUUACUUGGCACGAGCGCGUUGAUUGUUCAUUUGAAGUUGCUUCUUCUUCUUCUUCAUCAUCGAUCUAGGAUGGGUUCCAGACCGGCAGCCUGGGAUAGCAAGGAUGGACGUCGUUCUUAUUUUUCUCGUUUGUUUUCGUCCGUAGUCGGACCCUGCUCUUACUCUUGAUGAUUAUGUACUGUACUGAUGUGACUCUGAUGUAGCUUGUGGCGAGUGUAAGCCAACUCUUUAUAUAUCUCUUCUUUUCAGUACAUGUACUUGUAACGAUAUCCAUUCUUGCGACACAACGAGAUGCGCUUCUAUCCCUGACGAGGCCCUCGUGCCAAAUUGAGGAUAGGGUCGCAUCUUGGGCGUGACAAUCUUCCCUCCAUGCUGAAUGAGUCUUGUCUGCACCACAGCUUCCGGUUGAAGAAGACAAAGUGGUUUUAUAAUCACCAUACCGAUAUCCGGCUCAAGGCUGCCUUGGGAGGCACUUGCUUCUUCAAUUGUGAUACCUGAACCACGUUGUGAAUCUAGGAGCUAGCUGGUGGAUCAAUUUUGUAUGCAACCUCUCCAACCCGGCUUAGCAUUGCAUAUGGCUCGUAGUACUUCAAGGCAAGUUUCUGAUUGCGACGAGCAGCAAGGGAAUUUUGCAAGUAAGGUUGGACUUUGAGAAAAACCUGGUCGCCCACCCUGAAGGAGUGUUCACUCUGGCUUUUGUCAGUUUGUUUCUUCAUGCGCUGUUGCGCCCUUUGCAAGUGUGACGGAGGAUCUCCGUCAUGGAGGCACGUUCAUCUAUCAGUUCCUGCAUAUCGUCGUUGGUGGCCGGUGUAGUAAUGCCAAAUGGACGAUGUUGAUACCCAUACAAGCCUUCAAAUGGGGUGAUGCCCGCCGCCGUGUGAUAUGUGGUAUUGUACCAGUGCUCGGCUAGCGAGAGCCAUUUCACCCACUUGGUGGGGGCGUCGUGUGUGGAGCAGUGGAGAAAAGCUUCCAAACAUUGGUUCAAUCGCUCGGUCUGGCCGUCAGUUUCUGGGUGUCGGGCAGAGCUCAUAUUCAGGAUUGUGUUAGACAGUUUGAAUAAUUCUUGCCAAAACAAAUUUGUGAACACCGGAUCACAAUCGGAGAUGAUAUGAGCUGGCAUCCCAUGAAUACGAUAGAGUUUAUCGAAGAAUAUUUGAGCAACUUGCAGUGCUGUAUAUGGGUGUUUGAGGGGCAGAAGAUGCGCAAAUUUUGUGAAUUUGUCAAUUACCACGAGUAUGACUUGAUAGCCUUGUGAAGAUGGAAGGCCUUCGACGAACACAUUCGGAAAUAUCUAUAUAGCACCUUUAUAGUCACCCAGUUAUGCUGCGAUGAUACACACAAGUCAUUCCUCCGGUGUCGGUGAGUUACGUGAUCUUAUGGUCAUAGGAAUGUAUACUUGACAUGCAGAAAACAAUAGCAACAAAAUAACACGAUCACAUGCUACGUUUAUAGUUUGGGUCUUGUCCAUCACAUCAUUCUCCUAAUGAUGUGAUCCCGUUAUCAAGUGACAAGACUUGUCUAUGGCUAGGAAACCUUAACCAUCUUUGAUCAACGAGCUAGUCAACUAGAGGCUCACUAGGGACAUAGUUUUGUCUAUAUAUCCACACAUGUAUUUGUGUUUCCAUUAAAUACAAUUCUAACAUGGAUAAUAAAUAAUUAUCUUAAAUAGGAAAUAUAAUAAUUAUUAUUUUAUUAUUGCCUCUAGGGCAUAUUUCCAACAGUUCCUAAUAAACCGGGACUAAAUUCUGGCCUCACGAACCGGGACUAGUGGCAGCAUUAGUCCCGGUUCAAAAGCAAAUCGGGACUAAUGCUUCGAACCAAAUCCAUGUUUUCUACUAGUGUAUGUCAAUUUUUCUCGUAGCGUGGCAAAAGCUCGGCUUUCUUAAUUACAACAAAAUAUGGGUUUUCACCCUUUUUUCAUUUUAUUAGUCUCGUAAAAAAGUUGGGUUGUUCUUUUUCUUGGGCCCCAUCUGUAGUAUCAGUUUUGGGCAAUUUUCUCGAAAUCACUAAUCGAGGAGUACUUCUUUCAAAGAGCACUCCCACCUUCCCAAGUUGCGUCCUUAUUUUUUAUCUCUUAAACCGUGCGUCUAAAGCUCGAAUCAUUUUUACCGUUGGGUUACUCGCAUUGAAAUACUUAAAACUAGAUUCUAUGUUGAUACGUUUUGAUGAACUUUUUUUCACAAAAAAACGGACAAAAGAUACUGGACGGAAAAACCGUGACUCUCGCAAUAGAAAAAAAUAGAAAACACGUUUUUUCGUUUUCGAGAGGCAUGGCGCGAACGCUAAACCGUGCCUCUCGCAGAAGAAAACCUGCAUCUCUUGUGAAAAAAACAGAAAACACGUUUUUUUCAUUUCCAAGAGGCACGGGCAUCGUGCCUCUCGCCAAAGCAAAAAAUGUUCCUCUGUGGAAGCAAAAUCGUACCUCUCGCUAAAAAAAUAGAAACGCGUUUUUUUCGUGCCUCUCGCGAAAGCAAAACUGUGCCUUUUACGAAACAAAACAGCAAAUGUGUUUUUUCACGCAAUAUUUUUUGAACUUUUUUUAUCAAGAAGCUAAGAAAGACAGGUGAAAAACCGAAACACCAAUAAAGACUAGAAAAAAGCAAAAAAAAAAUAAAAAAAACACUUAGAACGCAACACAUGACAAUGGCUCAGAGCACGUUAAGUAGCGGCGCAUGUGAGCAAUCGUUGGAAGGCUUUCGAAGGAAUGCUUCUUAACUACUCAAAGUUGAUUGGUUUUGGCUAGCAGGCCACAACGGGUUGGCUGGCUUGACAGAUCACGCUACAAGCAGAUCUCCUCCCCUGGCGAACAUCGGGGGGAUAUCGGCGGCUAAAAAAGAACGUGUCUCUUUGCAGCGGAAAUGAGGUAUCUGUUUUCGCCAGUAUGCAUGGAAGCGUAUCAUUGCAUUAAUAGGUGGAAAGAGUUACAAGGGUAAAGGAUCCUCCAACACGUACACUGCAAGGCAUGUAAACUAGUGGUAAGAGGCACUCGAGAGCACAAGAGAGGGGUUGAUCAGGCCCAAGCUGUAGUUCAAGUUACAUUAAUCGCAGCCUCCCUUGACGUUGUCUCGUGAAGAACAGUUUAGGGUCUUUUAGGUUUUUCUUCGCUCCAUGGCUCCGCUCCCGGAGCGGAUGAAGCUGCAGUACAAAAUGUUGGAGCUACCAAAUGGGUGCUCCCACAUAUCCGUGGAUUAUAAAAAGCUGGUGGAUUGCCGAACGUGUCCUUAGAGUCCUCCCACCUUCGCUCGAUCCAUAUGGGUGCCCUGGUGAUUGUGAUUGUGGAUGAAGAAACGACGGAAAGGUCAAGAUCCUAUUACAGGGUGGCAACUUUGUAGGACCACCACCUCACUUUACGACCUAGGACGUUGACAAGCAGACAUGUUCACAACAAGCUUCAUGAACAUAAAAUUCCAUCUCCUACAUGGUGAACUUGUUGUUGUAACAGGAACCUCGCCAACACCCUGUACAUGUAGGCUCACAUUACCUUCCGCCUACUGCGUCACAGAAGAAGAGGUAGCCGUACAUUGCACUGAUUCUGCCGCAGUGGGAAAAGCAUACCCACUAACAUGUUGGUUCUCUCCAAUAUCUCCCCAAAAUGUUGUGGUUUUACUAGUAGUACUAGUGAAUGGCACCAUUCUAGAGCACUUAAGCGCAAACACUGAUUGCUAGCUAACUAGCAGUAAUUGACACGAAAUAUGGUGGCAAAUGAAAUCCGUUGACGAUAUAUAUAUAGAGGCGGACUUCCCUGCAAUAAUUAAUACUGAUACACACAUAUAAGUGUGAGCAGAUAAAAAUUUGAGGUGCUAGAGCAUGAUGAAAACUGAAUUGCAUGAAUACAUCACAAAAUUGUGCUCCACAUAAAGUCAGCAUGACUGUCUGCGAGAAAAUAUCCAAUCUAACUUUGUAGCAGAUGUCUAUCCAGCUCAGGUCCAACCCGAAAGAAAAGACACCAUAUAAGCAUGCCUCGAAUAUGCACAAUAAUUGAUCUCAAUCUACAUUCCACAUUGGUCUAAACAAUCGAAAAUAUGUGACAUGAAUAUUGUACGAUACAAGGUACAGGCUGGAAAAAUGUGAUGGUCCGGCACAAAUGGAAUGGGAACUUUGAUACAGUUUAAAGCUCUUGUUAGUUCUAUAUAAGAUAUGCACAUACAGGAUAGCUCUCUACGUGCUCAGAAGUUCAGUCCAUGGAGUAUAUGAAAUGUUCAACUGUAGUUGUACAAAGUUUUCCUUGAGAAAAAUAUCGAUUUGAAUUUGGGAGAUAGGAGGAAACCAGAAUAUAAUAAGAACCAAAGGACUCUAACUUGUCCAUUUUUUGUUUUUGGUGGGACACAUGAAUUGCUCGGAACCCGCAGCACUGAGAGUUGCUUGAAACUGUGCCUCAGAGUUACUUUAUAGUUAUUAUAACCCAUGUUAUAGUUUACAAUUAGAAGAAAUAAGUUCAUCAGAUUUUGUAAUAACUUAUAAUUGUAAAUUUGAAGUUAAUUUCUUGCAUGUAACCCCAAAGCAGGUUAAUUUUAGGGCUCCUAAAAGUUGUAAAGAAAGAGAAAAGCGAUAUCAGUUGGCUUGAGAGCUAACAAUCGCCGGGUAGAAGACCAUAGUAGAACACAUCUACCUGUCAAAAAUGCGCUGAGAAGGGAGGCCUGAUGGUUUGUAGAUGCUUGUUCUUGUAACUGUUUGUUGCUGAAAUCCUUCUAAUGUUGCACAGUUCAAGUGUGGAACUUUGUUGUAUUUUGUUUAAUAGCUGUAGCUAGCAGUGAGCAAUUGCUUGUCAAGAAUGAUAAGUUCAUACUUUUAGAGUGUUAAACGGCUGAGAUGGUUUUGGAAACUUCUAAACUGCCGGACUUGCCAAAUUAUAUUGUGGGUUAUGAAAUCCCUUGAGUACAACAAAAUGUGCCCAAAAUAAGGGAAUCCACAAGAAUACGGCUUGUUUAUGAGAAAAAAAUUUACUACUCAAACGUUCACCACCCUGGUAACCUCAAGACAGCGCCUCCCGCAGGCUAGGCAGCGGGACCGCAACCGGCUAGGACAGAUAUUGCACGCGCUACAUGUCACCGUUCGGCGGUAACUACGUCGGACACCAUGUACGG